Molecule: long non-coding RNA, 63596 nt
Filed under: Sorghum bicolor (sorghum)
Lineage: Eukaryota; Viridiplantae; Streptophyta; Magnoliopsida; Poales; Poaceae
Description: long non-coding RNA (SBIC_LNC005053)
Source: RNAcentral
ACUAGAACUAGAUCUAGAUGAACUAGAGGUAGAACUAGAAGAACUAGAGGGAUCCUCUCUACUUGGAUGAAGAAUUGAAACCCUAGCUUUGAUUCUGUAGAAGAGGUAUGAUCUCCAGGGGCCAGGGGGGUCUGGUUUUAUAGUCCCUUCAAGUGAAUCUGGGCCGUCGGAUCAAACCGACAUUGAUCGUGUGGUUUUCCUUGAAGUAUUAGGUCGGUGGAGCAUGAUCCCCGAGUUGUACCCUGAUUGGGCAGAACAGGUGGGCGGGCGCCCUCAGGACUAGGGCGGGCGCGCUGUCCCUGAGGCCUCUUGUCUUCCGCUUUGUUCCCGUGGCUUCUGGAGUCUUCUAGAUGAUAGAAAAUUACGCGGCACGUUAAUAUGUCUAUGUAAACCCGACGUGUGGGCCUUUCUUCCAUAAUUCCUGAUAACCCCCUGCAGAAAUAGACAAACACGAAAACUUGUAGAAUUCUGUCAGAUAAAACCCUAAGUCUAGGUGUUGGUUGCAUUUGGAUCCUUUUCUAUGAUUAGUUGAUGGUUAAAUAUGAGCAUUAAGGACCGUCAACAAGCUCCCCCAAGCUUAACCUUUGCUCGUCCCUGAGCAAAGAUGGACUCAAGAGUUUCUGCAGUGGUUUUAUGCCUUAAAGAUAUACAUGCGUUCAAACAAGAUCUCAUCUCUGGGUUAGGGUAAACUGUUAAGAUUUAAAACUUAAUCAUUUUACCUUUCACCAUGGGGCUUGCAACUGUCACUUCUGUCUUGAGUAGUUAAAAGAUAGAACGGUCUAAUCAAGCGCCAUGUCUCUUGUUCUUCGAUUAACUAUAGCUCUAGAGUUUUUGCAGAUUUUCAAAUAAAACACAGAGAUUCCUAGUAUGACUCUCUCUAGUCUCUCAUUUGUGGUAUUUCUGGAUCCUUACCAAAGCAGUAAAGGUGUAUGCCUUCUCUCAAAGUAUGUGAUAUUUUUGGUAUAAGGCAUAGUGACAUUGCCUUCUCUCUCACCCUACUCUAAUAAGGCUUUUGAUAUCUGGAGCUCAUAGGUGGGAGACAGCUAAUACAUACUUACAAGACAUUUAUUGCAUAGUCAAACCAUGGAUCUAGAAGAACAAGUCAAUAAGUCAAAUCAAGAUGUGCAUGUGUGGCGAAUGAAUGGUGUAUGGUGAUGAUGGUGAUAACAAUGGUGAAAGUCUAAUUCUACUUUUGCUCUUUUGAGGGGAUACAUACCUUCCUUGCUCUUUUGAAACUUUUUUUGAGGAGAAUGAGAUGCUCUAUAUUUUCUUUUCUUUUUUUCCUUUUCUCUCAGGUGGGUAUCUUGUACCCCUAAUUCUACUGUCGGACACUUGUCCAUUUUUACCUCUCGUCUCACUUUUUCUUUUCUUUCGAGGUUCCGGGCACUUGCCCCUUUUUAUUUCCUCGUAUUCUUUCUUUUUUUUCUUUUUUUAGAGCACUCAUCUCCUAAAAUAAUAUAGCAAGUGGUAGUAACCAAGAUAACUUGAGCAUUUAUUUCACAGGGGAAAAACAUAAAUGUUUUUGGCUAUUCUCUCCCGGAAUAGGAGUAGAAUAUUUUUUGGGUGAAUCUGGAGAUGGAAAUGAGUGGAUAUAUGUGGAUGGUACUUCUGGAGUAGAAGUAGCAUGUGUGAGUGAACGUGCAAGUGAAUCUUGAUUUAACCUCAUGACAAGCUCCAAAGGGUCUACACAGCUUGACCACACUCAAUGCUCAUAAGCAGUAAAAAGUAAAUGUGUGGUUCAGAGUCUACAAGCAUGUAUAUAUGGCUGUGGUAGGAAUUUAAACUCUCAUCAUACAGGAACUCAUCAUGUGAUAUUUUAAAGAUUUUUAAAGAUAAAAUUCUUCAGAAUUCUAGCAUCUCUAGGAACAGAUAAACAGCAGCUCAACCUUCCCAUAUCAUAUCCGUUAACGACUUUGACUUCAGAUCAAGCACUCUCCCCACAAGUUCAGGUUUAGAGCAAAUCUUAAUUCAUAACAGUGAUGCCUAAACUUGCGAGAGAUUUCAAUUUUGAGAACUAGUCAUGGUAGAGCAACUAUUCAUCAUUUCCAUGUGAGAGCUUAUCAUGAGGGUUCAUAGCAAACUUUAUUUAUUUAUUUAGCAAAGUAAGCAAAGAUAUAUAUAAGCACAAAAUCUUUAUUUGGGUUUCUAUGAUUAUGCAUCUUUUUAUUAUUAGAUUAAAGUAUAAACGUGAGUAGAAUACUUAGCUGGAUAAAUGGGGGUGCUCUCCCCCAAGCUGGAUUUUGACGUAGUUUCUUCUAAUGUAGCUAGCAAGUGGUGGAGGUGUAUUUGAAUGUCAGCAGCACCCUGAGAGCGAUUAGGAUGUCCUCUGUCUGCUAGUCUUCUUUGAUCCUUAAAUUCUGUGGAGCUCAAAUAGACAACAAAGCUUUGUGGAACUAGUUAAGUGUUAGCAUAAGUAUCUAGCCUUUAUCAUGUUGAGCUUCCUCAAUAAAUGUUACUCUCUUUAGUAGGAUCAUAAUUUUAUUUUUAUAGGACAGGAAUAUGUUUAUUUCAUGUUUAUGCCACCACAGUGAAUGUACUUAUGGGUUUUAUGCCAUGAGUAUACUCACAUGGGGCUUACUAUUUUUUAACAUUUUUAUUUUCUUUCAAGAUGAUAUGGACCUGAUUAACAAAGCAAACUAUUUUAAACAAUUGAAAGGAAAAAGAUAACUACCAAGUUUACCUCUUGGCAAGGCGUUCGGUGUCUUUAAGUCCUCCGAACAGGAUUCUCCGUUUUCUGAGUCAUUCUGGGAUUCACUAGAUGGCGUAGUCGGUGGUUCCGACGGUGCCUCCUCUUCGUGUAUAACAAUCUUCUCUCUACAAACCUGACUCGGUGCUACGGUCUCCUUAGGAUAGUUCUGUUCAAGUUCUAUGUCUUCAGACCUUACAACUUCUCCUUCGUAGUGUACCCACCCGUCCUUGAUGAUUUGCCUUCUCUGGUUGCGGUUGCGUCGUCUCCUUCUUGUCCUGACCUGCUUAGAGUCUUCAACUAUAUAGUUAGGGUCAGUAAAAUAGCGGCGUCUUCUGAGAGGGGAAGUUCAUGUGGACUUCUCCGGUUCCAAUGUAGAUGAUUAUUUUAACGGUGCUGAGGAACUGACUCCCAAUGGUGAUGGGUGGAUUCUACUCGUCUUCUCCCAUGUCAAUAACCUUAAAAUCAUCUGGAGCUGAAUGUAUGUUGGUUAUAGGGGCAUGGUUCCAUGCAGGAGCUAAUAAGUGACUGCGGCCAUUAUGUUGACGUCAGAUCUGGUGUCGUAGAGUGUCUUCUCAAAAGAAUAUCCGUUGAUUGUGCACUUGAUGCUUGGAACACCAGGGUCGUCCUUCUUGAUCAAGAAAGGUGACUUGAGUUGACGAUCUUGACCUCCUUGAGCUGCAGUGACCAUCUUAGCUGACUCGGUACAAAUUUGCUUGUUCUUGUUCCUCCUGUUGGUCCUCUUCCUUGGUUCAUGUCGGGAUUGCUCUGGGAUUUGUGUAGUCUUAUUUUUGAAGGAAAACGUCUCCAUCCUUCCCUUGAAGUAGAAACUGAUCUUGGCAGCACUAGCCUAGAUUACAGCUCCCGAGGUGUUCAGGAAUGGCCUCCCUAGGUAUAAUGUUGACGCUGGAGCCAAAAUCGCAGAGUGCUUCUAGGAAGUCCACCAUGCCGAUGGAGAUUGGGAUGACGUGGCAUCCUAGAUUGUCUUUCUUGACUGGCAGAAGGUCAGUAAUUUCUUCCACAAUGGGGUUACUCCAGUAGUUAUGUCCUCAAGCAUCUUAGGGCAGUGUUUGCAUGAGUGUCCAGUAUCUCCAGCGUGUUUGUGCUCAUAUAUCUAGGUUCUUCACUUGGUGGAGUCUGGGAGUUGUAAAACUCCUUCAUAUUUUGCUCGAAGUGUUCCUACUUAUAGAGACAAGGCAGAGAUCAAGUGCAUGGGCCCUGUUGGUGUAAAACACCAACAAAACCAAAAGUGUAUUUGUUCUUCUCUAACCUCAAGCAUAGUGAGCAAGACAAAGUUGAUGGAUAAUAUGAUCAUGAGUGUAGCAUUUAACAUUUGUCAGAUUAGAUUGCUCAACCUUAUGGAAAGAUAAUCUAUCUAUAUAUAUGUUUUGUUUAUAUCUUCCAAAGAUUGAGUGUGCAACAUUUUAGCUUGUAUGAUUAGGAGUGUGGAAUCACAAAGGUGGAAGGACUAAACAUGUUGAAUCGAUUGGGACGGUUAAUCUAGAGUUGUAAAUCAUACAUGUUUGUCUCUUUUAUUCAUGUGUAUGCCAGAAUCAAGGAGAAGCUUAUAGAAGUGAUAGUCAAAUACCUUAAGAUGUUACCUUACUUGAAGAGUGAUGGUACAAUAUCACCUUGUGGAAGCUUUCCUCUCUUAGCGGUUGUGCAUCGUGUUUGUGGCACCCUCCAUGGAUCAUCUCUUGUGAGCUAUGCCUUCCUUGUGUAAAUUGUUAAACUUCAUGUGUGUCUCUCUUUGUCUCCAAUGUGAGUUUAUCUCAGGACUUCCCAUGUCGAUAUUGAAAGUUUUCCUGCAGGGGUUAGUCCAACAAAAUAUACCAAUGUCUACACAAGCAGUUUUUAGUUCAAUAACCAAACUAGACUCCAUGUCUAAUUAGAUUAAGGAAGACUGUUUAACCUAAGCACCAUGCUUAAUUUAAAAACCAAUAGAAGUAUGUACAGUACUUCCAAACUAACACUUACUAGGAUAAACAAAGGUAGCAUGAUGGCUUUUAUAGAGAUCCACUCAAGUGGAGAUGAAGUAGUGUGAUUACUAUUUAACAAAUUGAGCAUGUCUCAAAGGUAGGGACAACCAACAUAGCAACAUGGAAAAUGAUGUUUUUAUAUAAAGUACUCCCCCAAGCUUGAAUUUUGCAAAAUUCAAGUUUGGAUGAAUUUAAUUCAAUGUUGUAUGAUGAUUGGUUGUACAUACCUUGUGCUUGUCAUUCAUCCGAUCUUCUUGCUCGAAUCCUAGAAAGGUUAGUGACAAGAAUACCCGAAGGAAUUUUUUUACAAUUAUCCUUAUAUGCUCAAUACACAAGGUAAUGUUGCAAAUAAUUAAAAGCUUAUGUUACGAUCUGAUCAGUGCUUGUUUUAGGACACUAAGCUUGUCCUUGGGAAACCAUCAAUUUAUGUCAGUGAAGUGGUUUCCCCUCCAACGCUGACCUAUAUCAAGAUUAACUCAACGAGAUCUGCAAUAUUUAAUAUAGACAUAUGCAUCGACAACCACCCUUUUAAAGUUUUUAUAAAUAGAAAGGAUGAGGGGGUUGGAGAUCUCGAAUGUGGUGAUAUUGGAGAGACCAAUGGAUUGUGGAGAUGUUGCAUAUGAGCAUGGAGUAAAUGAAGUGGCUAUGAAAUAAAUUCCAUGCUCAUUAAUGCUUAGAGUGAAAUCCAUGUGGUAUGGUGAAAAUGAUAAGGUGAGUGUGGUCAAAAAGGAAAAGAAAAAGGAUACACGGACGACUUGGUUCGAAACUAGCACAGCUACCGUUCCCUGGCAACGGCGCCAGAAAGCUUGUUGGGUAUUUUAAACGCAAACAAAAAAAUCCGCAAGCGCACGGAUACCGAUGUAGCCUUCACCCGGGAGUAUUCCAGAGUAUCGAUUUUCCAUAGAGAACGUGAGUGUACUAAUUAAGAUUCAAGAUCGCCCAAGGAUAACUAUAUAAUUAUUUUUGGUGGGAAGAGAGGUAGUUUCCUGAGAGUUCUCUAGUUGAUCUAAGAAUCAAGAAUUACUUCAAGAUUAUCUAUUUCGGGACAUCAGAGCACUAACCACAGAAAGAGAUGAGAAGGGGGCUAGGAAUGUCUGACUACGGUCCUACAAACACCGAUCCGAACGAGGUGGAAUACGUCGACCGUUAGGGCUGUCACUACCCUAAGGCUACCACAACAAUCCGCAGGAUUGGGUGCAAUUCCAGGUAAUUGCAAGACUAAACACCACGUCUAAUCUAUUAAUUACUACUCUAAUGUUGCAAAGACUAGAGCACUUGAUGCAAGCGGGAAUCCAAUAAAUAACUUGAAUGUAAAUAAAAGUAAUUAGAGAACUCAGGAGUUAUGAAUUGAAGAACCUGGAGAACGCUGAAGAACAAACCAGAUGCUGCAAAAGUAUAAUGUUGAGGAAGAUCCGACAGAUCCUCCUCCUCCUCCGCUCUCCUCUUCUCUCUCCCUAUUUUCUAAAUUACAACUAGAACUAACUAGAACUAGAACUAGAGGAACUAGAACUAGAACUAUAUGAACUAGAACUAGAUCUAGAUGAACUAGAGGUAGAACUAGAAGAACUAGAAGGAUCCUCUCUACUUGGAUGAAGAAUUGAAACCCUAGCUUUGAUUCUGUAGAAGAGGUAUGAUCUCCAGGGGCCAGGGGGGUCUGGUUUUAUAGUCCCUUCAAGUGAAUCUGGGCCGUCGGAUCAAACCGACAUUGAUCGUGUGGUUUUCCUUGAAGUAUUAGGUCGGUGGAGCAUGAUCCCCGAGUUGUACCCUGAUUGGGCAGAACAGGUGGGCGGGCGCCCUCACGACUAGGGCGGGCGCCCUGUCCCUGAGGCCUCUCGUCUUCCGCUUUGUUCCCGUGGCUUCUGGAGUCUUCUAGAUGAUAGAAAAUUGCGCGGCACGUUAAUAUCUCUAUGUAAACCCGACGUGUGGGCCUUUCUUCCAUAAUUCCUGAUAAACCCUGCAGAAAUAGACAAACACCAAAACUUGUGGAAUUCUGUCAGAUAAAACCCUAAGUCUAGGUGUUUGUUGCAUUUGGAUCAUUUUCUAUGAUUAGUUGAUGGUUAAAUAUGAGCAUUAAGGACCGUCAACAGAUGCCUCGCUGGCCAGAGCGCUGACCUUGGGCAUCUCGAGGGGGUCUUGACAGGAUGUUCCGACCCAAUCCCUGCGCCCAGCCACGUUCUGGCUUGUUUGGCGGAAAAGGCUGCAGAAAGAACGACAGGACAGGUGCUUGUUCCCUAUCACGCUUCUAGGUUAGGUGAGAACGCGGUAGGCGCAUUAAAUGCCCUGGUUCCCAUGCCCGCGUCAGGCGGCGGGCGGCAUCCUUGCGCUCGAGGCCUUCUGAUUCAUACGAGCCUAUUUCCAUAUUCGAUGGUGGCUGGCGCUCGAGCCCUGGUCGAUUCGUAGGACGCUCUUUUCGUGUUCGUGGCUACGGUCGUCGAGGACCGUGCAUACAACUGGUCGUCGAGUUGGAUGCCUCGACUUGCGUAUGGAUACUCUCGAUAUGCACAUCAGUUAGGGUACCCCUUACUGAUAUCCUCGACAGUUGAUUAUUUGAAAGAUCCAUCCAAGAAAGUUGAGAGACGUGUUCGGUUUCAAGCCACCAAGUAUGUGCUCCUCAACGAUGAAUUAUAUUAUCGAACAAUUGAUGGAAUUCUUCUCAAAUGCUUAGGUGAUAAUGAGGCUAAAAGUUUAAUGGGAGAAAUCCAUGAAGGAGUAUGUGGAGCACAUCAGUCGGCUUUUAAGAUGAAAUGGAUGAUUAGGAGGAAUGGGUAUUAUUGGCCAACCAUAAUUGAAGAUUGUUUUAAAUAUUUCAAGAGGUGUCAAGGAUGUCAGAAAUUUGGCUAUAUUCAAAGGGCACCCGCAUCGGCCAUGAAUCCCAUUAUUAAACCUUGGCCGUUCCGGGGAUGGGCUAUUGAUCUAAUCGGCCAAAUUUACCCACCAUCAAGCAAAGGACAUGAAUUCAUCUUGGUUGCAACCGAUUAUUUCACCAAGUGGGUUGAAGCUAUUCCUUUGAAGAAAGUCACAUCGGCCAAUAUGAUUGAUUUUGUGAAAGAGCAUAUUAUUUACCGAUUUGGAAUUCCUCAAACAAUUACUACCGAUCAGGGUACUAUAUUCACAUCAGGGGAGUUUGAUGAGUUUGCAAUCGGUAUGGGAAUUAAAGUAUUAAAUUCUUCUCCUUAUUAUGCUCAAGCUAAUGGGUAGGCCGAAGCAUCUAACAAAGGAAUUAUCAAACUUAUUAAACGGAAGAUUGAAGAAAAUCCUAGGAGGUGGCAUACAUUGUUAAAUGAAGCUUUGUGGUCAUAUCGGAUAGCUUGUCAUGGGUCGACCAAGGUUUCACCUUAUCAAUUGGUGUACGAGCAUGAUGCAGUGCUACCCUGGGAAAUUAAAACUAGAUCUAGGCGGCUAUCUUUUCAAGGCCAAUUGACUGCCGAUGACUAUGCUACUUUUAUAAAAGACGAGUUGGAUGAUUUAGUAGGGCAUCGGCUAAGGGCUUUGAUAAGUAUAGAAGAAAAUAAGAAAAGAGUUGCCAGAUGGUAUGAUAAGAAAGUAAAAGCUAAGGAGUUUGCCGAUGGAGACUUAGUAUGGAAACUAAUCUUACCGAUUGGGACUAAAAGUUCAAAAUUUGGCAAGUGGUCUCCCAAUUGAGAGGGUCCUUAUCGGAUAAAUCGAUCUGCUCCUAGCAAUGCUUAUAUUUUAGAAACUCUCGAAGGAGUUGAAUUUCCUAGGGCAUCGAAUGGCAAAUAUCUAAAGAAAUAUCAUCCUAGCAUACGGGUUGAUGCAUAAAAGUUAGAGUGCCGAUAACAUUCCUAUCGGCUGGAUCAAAGUGUAUCAGGGGCCAAACUUAAUGUUUUAAAAGGUGCCGAUAACAGUCCUAUCGGCUAGACCAAAAUAUCAAGAGUGUUUAAAAGAAAAGAGCAAAGUAUGCCGCCGAUGAAGAAUUCACAUGUUUAACAGAGCCUGGAUUGUCGAUAUGGCGUGCAGACGGAUCUGGUUGGCUUCUUCUAUCUCCUUCAUGUCAUCAUCGGCAGAACCCUCCACUGGCUUCAGUUUCUUCUUCAUCUGCAGUGCUUUGCGGGCUUGGACAUUUCGCUCUUGUUCAAGAAUCUUGAUCGCCUCAGGCAGCUGGCUUUCUUCCUGUUGAGCUUGGGACAAAGCUUCUUCUACCUGUUUGAGUUCUGCCAGUAGGGCUUCUCUCUUUGCCGAUAUAUCAGAAAUCUUGUGCUUCAGCAUGUCUCCUGAGGAUUUCAAGAUGCCGAUGCUCUUGUGCUUUUCAUCGGCAAGGAGUUUCACUUUUAUCAUCUCUUCUGAGAGCUGGGUGUGAAUAGCUCUACUGGCAAGGCGCUGAGCGGCCUUUUGAUAUUGAAGCUUCCGACUUUCUAAGUGAGCAGCCUUGAAGAGGAUCUCCUCGGCAUCGGCAGGAAUUUGGCCUCUAAGAGCCUUGGAUAAGACCUUGGCUGGAUCGGAGUCAUCAACCAACUGGGCUGUAUCCUGAUGAAGGAGGGCCGAUAAAUCUUCCAACUUUGCUCUAAUCUCUACCGAUGAGAUUCCAACCGCUGGAGAAGAACUUGCUUCCUCGCCUUCAUCCUCAGAGAUGUCGAUGGCAAAGGAGAACAAGCUAUCGGGAGAGUCUUGUUUCUGAAAAGGAAGAUAAAAUAAGUUAUUCUAUGAUCAAGUACUGAUAACAAUAAAAGUAGAGAUUGGGUAACUUACUUGUUUCAGGGCUAUUUCUCGCCUUUGACUAGAUGACGCCGAUGGAACCACAGGCUGAUUGGUUGGAAUUGCCGAUGAAACUAUGUCAGCUGAAAGAUUGACAGAAGUGAUUAAUAAAGUGGAAAAAUAGGUUCAUCGGCAAUAAAUGUAAAGUAUAUUACCUUGAGGGGGUGCAGUACUUGUCUGAAUCGAGGAGACUACCGAUGCUAUGAUUAGGCUUGCUGGAUCGGCGGUCUGCUCGUGUACAUCAGCCAAUGUUUCUUCUGGCUGAGGUUCCUCUGGCUGGAGUUCUUCUGCUUGGGGUUCUUCUUGUGGCUGAGGAGGAGAUGGUAUCUGUUGUGUCUGGGCUUCUGGAGAAUAAGGGGAUGAUUCUACUGGGAUCGGAGACCUUGGGGGAGGAGGAGGCGUUGCUGUUCUCUGGCGCUUCACUUGUGAUCUGGUACUCUUAGAACCUUUUCUGUUCAGUUGACUGGACUGGGGGGCAUCUGCAGUUAUACUUUUGGUCUUUGCCGAUGUACCGGUGUGCUAAUACAACGAUGAAAAUUUAUGAGUACAAGUGUAAUAGGUAUAAGAAUGGAAUCGGUAUGAGUAAAAGAAUUCGAAAAAUUACCUUGAACACUUGUGCUAAGGUAGAGGCAGCUACCGAUGGGGAUAUCUUCGUCCGCUUGGUGGUAACUUUCUUGAGACGCAAACCCCGAUGCAUUAUAGCAGCCAAGGUUGGAGCGUUUUUGCCGAUCAAAGAGAUCGGGCCCGAUGGAAGGAGCUCAAUCGGCUUACCACUCCUGCUGACCAAUGGGGGUGUGUCAUCGACCUGCAUAUAACAAGGAAAAUAAGAUACCAAUGGAAAGUGAAAAUGACUGGAUUAAAGCAUCGGUUUAGAGUACUUACAGUGUUAUCAGGGACUUUGUAUUUGGGGUCGAUCAUGCCACGGUAUGUAAGAGCCGAUCUGCAGAACAGGUGCUCUUUCCAUUCUUCCAACCACUGUUUGUAUGCCUGGGUGACGAAGAGAGCUGGAAUCCAAGCCGAUAGAUCGACAUAUGUAUCGGCGUUUGGUGGAAUUUGUCACAGAACCGACCAAAUUAUAAGAGUUCAAGUGUAGAAACGAUCGACAAGCAAUCAAGUUUCCAAACUUGAGCCCAUAUAAUCCCGGUAGUCAACUGAAAUCACGAAGGACUUCAAACCAACUUGCAACAAACCAAGAUCGCAAUAGUUCAACAUAACACAGCGAUUGUUACAUAGUCAUUCAUUGCCUUCGAAGCGGCACCACAUCAGAGUUAGUUAUUACAACACAUGUUUGAAGUAGCGGAAGCAAAAUAAUUACACACACUUUCCAAAGUUCAUUUCACAAGUUCUUGUUCAGCCAGGGUCUCAUGCCAUCCAUCCAAAAGCAACAGAUAUGAAGUAGUUAGAGAACCGUGCCCAAUGGUUUAGUCCUCAUCCCCAGCGGGAUGGAGACAGGUCUUGCAGAAGCCAUCAUAAAAGAUAUCAUCUGCAACAGGUGGGAAUAAACCCUGAGUACGAGGAUGUACUCAGCUAGACUUACCCAUCUAGUAAAACAUAAAAGACACCAAGGAUUAUGCCAGGCUAAGUAUCAAGUGGAGCUGGUUGACUCAACAGUUGCCAAAAGCUUAAUUGAUAGCUACAAUGUAGUGAGGGCAUCAUAUUAAUCAUCAUUAACCUAUCACUAGAUUAGCACCUAUACUAAAACACAUCACUUGAUUAUUCCAAGCAAUAAUAACUAUAUCAAGUUCAUCAUAUACUCUUUCUUGCUAUCAUCAUUAUCACGAACCAAGUUCAUUAGUGAAUGUUACGUUUGCCGCUGCUCUGUCAAGUUCUCACUAUCCGGGAGAGACGGCGAUUCGAAUCGAUUCCUAUCCAGCUGGAGGGUUAUUCCUAGCACUCACCCAAGCAUCCCCCGUCGGAGAGCUAGCGGGUCACCUUUGGAACGACUCAGGAAUCGCGGCUCCGAUCAGCGCCGCACUCCCAGGGCUACCACUCUGCCAGGGAGGUCAGCAAUUUUAACUCACCUGCCUUUGGUCUUACACCAAUGGUCCCCCGCACACCGCACUUCCUCCGGUAGUGCGCACUUUAUACUUGCUGGUCUUCCAGCCUGAGUCAUACUACUAGGCUUCGCGGUCGGAACGAGUUAUCCGGCCAACUAAGUGUUAGGCAUGCGUUCAACAUGACAAGAGGACGUACAACGAUCGGUCCUUAGCUGCCACAGAUGGAGUUACUACAACCUUACAAAACUCCACCCGGCUUAAGUCAAGUUAAUUAGGUUCUUUCCACGAUAGCACAUAUAGACAAUGGUGAUCCGACUCAACCCUAUCUCACGCAGGUGACAGGAUAUCACCCGACUUCUACCGGUUAAAGCAUGUCUAUGCCACUACUCGAUCCUAACUCUAUGACCAGGUGGUGGUAACAUAUCUGAACAAGGAUUGAGUAAAAUGCAGCAGGGGUUUCAUCACAACUCCUAUACGUAAUGCAUCAAUAGAUAUAACAUAAUCAAGUAAGCUUUCGAAAUUAAAGUGGAAGAUUUAAGAUGCUCUGGGGCUUGCCUUUCACGAAUGAGGCUGGCUCGUGAUUCGGGCACUCAACUUCCUCUUCAGGCUCCUCGAGUACGGCUUGCUGGACCUCCGUCUCCGGGUUGCCCUCCUGGCCUUCAGAGUUCACUUGAAGCUCGAAAGAGGCUGUCACGUCCGAUGCACCUAUUGCAUGCUCGAUGAAUAAGAAGGUCUACAUACUAAAGGAUGAAUGCUUGAUAACAUAAUUAGACUCACUGGACACUCAUUUACGGAAUAACUAUUAUAACAAGUUCACACAAGAUGAUGAGCUAACUUAGCUAAAACCUACCAAGUUAAACUACAAACAGCAAGCAUCACAUAACAGAACAGCUCAGUAAACAGGUCAUAACUAUUGCUAAAAAGAUCCAACAAACAUAAGUGAGGACAUUCUGGAAAGCUUAUGAAAUUGUCUACAAUCCACCUUUAAACAUCACAGCAAGAUUCAUAAGUUAAACAAGUCAUUUAAACAAAGUUCCAGGUUCAGAAAAACAGAGAACACCUAUUUCUGGAACCCAACUUGGAAGAGCUAUACCUUUUAAACUAUUGGGCCAAAUGAUCCCAAAUUUAGACCACAGCUAGUUCAUAAAGUUUGCAACAACUUUAGUUUAGACAAGUUUUCCAGAAAAACAAGCUACCAACAAUUAAAGGUUAGAUUACCCUCUUGCUGUCCAGAACAGCUUUUAACCCUCAAUUAAAUAUUUAACGACAUGGCCAAAAUAUACUCAGUGUCAAACACGUAACUUAUGGGCACAAACAUACUAUGGGAUUACCAGAACAACAUAUGUUAACCCCAAAACACUUAAUAACAAGGCAUUUAUCAAUUUAAUUCUAUAAAAGGACAUAAUUACAAGAUACUAGCAAAAGUGCUCAGAAAAAUCUACAAAAUUUACAGAAGUACAAGCAUAGCAGCUGGACAUCACCAUAAAAUUUUCAGAGCAAAUGCACAUGCCAAAUUCAAGAUAAGCAUUUAACAUUUGGCAAGGUGCUUAUUUCAUAAAUUAAGAAACAUGGCUUAUAUAGUAUCAAACAACAGAUUUCAAUUUAUUUACAUGUUAUCAAUACCAUAGACAAGUUUGACCCCAAAGUAGAGCACCAGCAUAAACACUAAUUAUUUACUAUGAUUUAAAUAAGGAAACAUGCCAAAGAAUUAAUCAUAAAUUACAUAUCCCAGAUAUAGUACUCCAAAAAUCAUGAAAUAUUUAUCAAAGCAUUCUCAUAUCACUCAGAGAUUACCAUAAAAAUGUCAUAGCAAGAUGAGCAGUAUAUCAAGAGAUAUGGAUUUACUCAAGAAUAACAAGAUUAAAUCUUAAUAAUUAUUUUUCCCAGAAAGCAUGGUCCAUUUUAUAUUUUUAAUAAAAACUAGCUAUCACAAGGAAUAUCACAAAAUUGGUUUCACAAUUUUUGGAUCUCAGAAACAGAAGAUAUGAUUUUUUUAAGAAAGCCAAAAACCUGGAUUUGAAUAAAAGAAAAGGAGGGAACUAAGUGUCACUAACAGCGGACCCCACGCGUCAGGUUAUUCUUCCUCAUGACCGAGACGACGUUCACCGGCGAUUUCUCCGCGACGGCGAGGUCUCCGGCCAAACCAAGGGCACCAACGUGAUCCACAGACCUUUGCGAACCGAUUGACCCCCUUUUUCCCCAUGGCGGAGCCACCGGAAGGGGCUUGCCGUCGAUCAUGGCGGCCCGGCGGAGGUGCUCGGCGUUACGCCGGAGCUCUCAGGCCGGUAGAGCGCGACCUAGGGUUUCCUACAGCACCAGCGGACUACGGCGAAGCUUCCUAGGUAGGCGACUUGGCUUGAAAUGGUGCGGAAAGAGCUGGCCACGAGAGGGCCCAACUCCGGCGGAAACACGGCGGCGCUGCGCGUCGUGUCCGGUGACGGUGACCGCGAUAGAGCGUCUGCCAAGUGGCGCAAACACUUGCUAAGGACCUAAGCUACCUCUAGGACCUAACCAGAGAAAACGAGAGGCUCCGAGGAGCUCGACAUUGAGUUCGUCGGAGAAGAAAGUCACGGCGACCCGAUUUGGAGGAAAAAGGAAAUGUCGGCUCACCGGAGGAUUUCACGGCGAGUUAGCGGGAGGAGGAUGGAGAGCGGGUCAUGUCGACGAAAGCUGGUCGGCAGUCUACCUUGGGGUAUACCCACGGUAGUAGUUUAUCGGUAGACGGUGCGCAAACUACGAACUCGAUGGUGACGCAAGACACGGACAAGCUUUUUAUCCAGGUUCGGCCGCCGAGUUGGCGUAAUACCUACGUCCUGCGUCUGGUUGUAUUGAUUUGUGCUGAGAGAAUAUGAUCUGAUGUGUCCUCUAGGGGACCCCUGCCCCUCCUUAUAUAUCCUGAAGGGACAGAGUUACAAGCAAAGUAUCCUAUUUGGUACAAUAUCUUGUAGCCUUGUGGUGCACGCCGACUAGUCGUGCGCCGCACGUCUUCAUCCUGUGGGCCGAGCCACCUCUGAUGGUGCGGCCCAUAUAGGCCCAUGAGGGUAUAGGGGUUUAUACCCCCACAGCUAGUCCCCGAGCACCAUGUAUUGUGAUGUAGCACGCCGUCUUGAGCUUUUUCGAUCAGUGAGGCUUGACGUCUUCAAUAAACAGGAAAGUUGCCCGAACAGUUACAACGGUAUUUUGACCAACUCAAAAGACAGUUGAUCAACAUUGACAUCGAAGAAGCAGGUUGUUCGAAGAAUGCAUGGUGCUCUAAAUUAAAAAAGAUUUCUUUCCUGGUGAAGUGUGCCCACUUUACUUUUUUGAAAGGUAUAAACAUCAAAAAAACAAGCAAAUUCAUCGCAAGGUGAAGUGUGCCCACUUAGUCCCCGAGCCUGGUAGUAGGUGACGUAGGCACGUGGUGCCAGGGUCAAAAGAAAAGUCCUCAAAGAAAUUCUGAAACUGAGAUGCAUCGCCAGAUGCAUCGUACCGAUGUAGUCCCCGAGCUUGCUGGAAGGCGAAGUAUGAGCCUUGUAGCAAGGUCUAAAAAAUUGAAUUUACCAGUCCCCGAGCAUAUCAUGCUCGUAUGCAAUUGAAUAGACUAAUCGACCAGUCCCCGAGCAUAGAACGCUCGGUGGUCGGUACAGUCCCCGAAUUCUCAAAUUGGUGGGCUGGUCGACCAGUCCCCGAGCGUAUAGUGCUCGGUGGUCGGUGCAGUCCCCAAGCUCUUAAAUUGGUGAGCUGGUCGACCAGUCCCCGAGCGUAUAGUGCUCGGUGGUCGGCACAGUCCCCGAGCACGGCGUAGGGACCGGUGGACAAGUCCCCGAGCGUGGUUGGGAACGUAAACGUGCUCGGUAGUCGGCACAGUCUUCGAGCAUAGCAUAGAGAGUAGUCGACAAGUCCCCGAGCGUGGUUGGGAACGUAAACGUGCUCGGUGGUCGGAGCAGUCCCCGGGCACAGCGUAGGGAAUAGUCGACGAGUCCCCGAGCGUAGCUUGUCGACUGGGCCAAACUCCUGAAAAAUAAAUAUAGAGAAAAUAGGUAGUACAUGAUGUAUAAAUAAACUCUAGAUAAAAAAUCAGCACUGAGAUAAGUUUUAGACUUUUUAUUAUAAAAUUAGCACGAGUAGUUAAUUCAUCCUAGAGCUUGUACCAGCUCUGGUCUAGCCAACAAUCAGCAUGAGGUGCGGAACCUAGACACGCGUGGGAUUGCCAGCCUCGCCAGAGAGCUACUGCCGACCACCCGGAACGCAGAGGGCGGAUCUCGUGCACGUGUAGGGAGGAGUCGGAGACAGUACCGGCUCUGGAAAGCUCGUGUAGGAGAAAAAACUAGUGUGGCUAAACAAAAAGUUGGUUUUGAAGGAUAAUAAAAAAUAUUAUGCCAAAAAUAAAUAAGAUAUUAGAAGUGUACUUAUCUUUGGAUGAAAGUCUGGUCGGUGACGACAAAAUUGUCUGGCCCUCGAGCUUUUGGACUUGUUAUCGUGACGGUGGUCGCGGUUGUCGUAGCGCCGUUCUUCGCGGCGAUUAUUAUUGCGACUGGUGGUCAGAGCAAGUAGGCCAAACAACUUGGUCGUUAGCCCAAGCAGAUCGAUGUCGUCGAUCUGCCUCUCUUUGUAGUAGGGAAGCAGGUGACGCAUUGUCGGCGUGGUCGGAGACGCUGCUGGUGUGGUCGAAACCAUAGCCAGCGUGGUUGAAGCCGCCGCCGACGUCGAUGAAGAAGUGGUUGGCGCAGAUCGGAUCUACACCUCCUCCGUGGUCAUGGCGGUGAAGUUGUUGAGGCUGACGGUGAACGUGAAGUCGCCCGCCAUGGCCGCGAAGUCGGGGAUGAUGGCCAUCUUGUUCGUCGGGAGAGCUGUACGCACACCCCCUACCUGGCGCGCCACUGUCGACGAAAGCUGGUCGGCAGUCUACCUUGGGGUAUACCCACGGUAGUAGUUUAUCGGUAGACGGUGCGCAAACUACGAACUCGAUGGUGACGCAAGACACGGACAAGCUUUUUAUCCUGGUUCGGCCGCCGAGUUGGCGUAAUACCUACGUCCUGCGUCUGGUUGUAUUGAUUUGUGCUGAGAGAAUAUGAUCUGAUGUGUCCUCUAGGGGACCCCUGCCCCUCCUUAUAUAUCCUGAAGGGACAGAGUUACAAGCAAAGUAUCCUAUUUGGUACAAUAUCUUGUAGCCUUGUGGUGCACGCCGACUAGUCGUGCGCCGCACGUCUUCAUCCUGUGGGCCGAGCCACCUCUGAUGGUGCGGCCCAUAUAGGCCCAUGAGGGUAUAGGGGUUUAUACCCCCACAGGUCACGGCGGAGCUAUGGGCGAGUUUUGGUGGACAGCAACGCAGCGAGGAGCGCGUACGAGCUCGCCGGAGUGAGCUCGCGACGGUGAGCUCGCUGCUGCCGCGUUUCUGGCGAGAGAGGGCGAGGCAGAAGGAAAUGGACGCGUCCACUUCGCCCGAGGUGUCGCCAUGGAGGUCAUGCGGCGUCCGGAGUUGACGAGCGGGGCCAGAAACGAUGUACGGACGCCAAAUGUCCCCGUUGCUCUGCCGCCGGUCGGCCACGUCGACGAGCUCGGUUCUGAUUCAGACAAAACGAUGACUGACUGAGAGAGCUACUUUGACAACGAUUUUCUCCCAAACCAAAACGAAUUAGGAGAUGGUGUACUUGACAAAGUUGGAGUACUAGCUGAGUUGUACAAUAUUGUCAACUGGAGCAAGAGCUAGAUCGGCCUGGUUUGAAAGAUAUGAAGUUUUCAAAAUCGAUCAAGCAAACUCCAGCGUCCCCAGACUUAGAAAAUUUUUCUAAGUGUUGGAAACAGCCCCAAAUCUGCCUUGUGGGUCACUUUAGAGCUAGAUGUGAUCAUUUUCAUGAGAUGGCCAUAGAACAACUUUUGUGACUUAUAAAAUUUGCUACAACUUUUCUGUAGAAAGUUUUGACAUUCAAACGUUUUAUGAAACACUUUUUAAAAGCAUAAGAAAAAGAGGUUUCUAGGGCCUAUACAUGUAAGUAUGACUUAAGUGAUUAUUUUGGAGAAGUGAUCAACAUUAACAUUGUUCCUAAGGUUGAGUUAGGCAUAGAUAAAAUAUUUAGCAAGGCAUAGCACCCAAGCAUGAGCAUGAUUCACACAAACACAAGCAUAGGAAGCAUGAUUAAACAAAUUAAAGCACACUUAAGCAUAAAAUGACAUGGCUCAAGGUAGAUGAUGAUCAUGAUGUGCUUGAGUAGAUGAUGAUGCUCAUGUUAUGCAUGUGAUUUAUGCAACCAUAACACUGGGGUAUUAUAGCCUGUUGACGGUCCUUAAGUACUAAAAUUAACAAUCAAAUAAACAUGGAAAAGGAUCAAUAUGCACCAAACAUCUAGAAUCAGGGUUUUAUCUGACAGAAUUCCACGAGCUAUGGUGUUUAUCUAUUUCUGCAGGGGGUUAUCAGAGAAUAUGGAGAGAAGGCCCACAUGUCAUGUUUACAACGAGAUAAUUACGUGCCGCGCAAUUUUCCUCAAUCUAGAAGAGUCCAGAAGCCACGGGAACGAACGAGAAGACGAUCGGGCUCGGGGGUAGGGCGCCCGCCCAGCCCCAUUGGGCGCCCGCCCAGGGUUAGAGUCCAGUCAGGACUCUCUUUCGGGACUACGCUCCACCGACCUAAAGGAUGAAUCUAAACCAUUCAAUCAAUGUCGGUUUGAUCCAACGCCCCAAAUUCACUUGAAAGGACUAUAUAACCAAGGCCUCUCCACCCCUGGGGGAGAGAGCAGAAGAGAAGAAAUCAUUAUUCAAAGGUAGCCAUCAAAGUUAGGGUUUAGAGCUUCUCUCCCACAGAGAAUUAGAAUUAGCUACUCCCUAGUCCUUCAAGUUUAGAGGUUUGAUUAGAUAGCAAUUAGAGAAGUAGAGCACUACACUCUGGAUUCGGAUCUUCGGUAAUAAAGAUUGGUAUUAUUCAUAUCAUUCUCUAAUUCUUUGUUCUAAUUGCAUUAUGUCUCUAAUUAUUAUGUUCUUAGUUUUCUCUAGUUCUAUAUUUGUUAUAGUUAUGAUUGAUAAUGAGUUUAUGUAUAAGUUUGCAAAGCGCUUAGCUCUUGACGAGAGGGAGUUAAGUGGUAGACAUGUGAGCGUGGUGCUUAGAUGUUAUUUAUCUGCAAAUGUAUCCUAUUAUCCAGGUCGUGUGGUAGUUCGCGAUAGUGACAGCUUCAUUGAUUCUUAUAUAGUCCACCCUCCGUUGAUAGGACAGGCAGAACUUGUAUUGCGGAGUAAGUCUUGCGAUGUUCUGAUUUACUUUAGCAGUGUUCCUUAUACAUGAAUGAAGAGUCUUUUAUGCUAUAUAUGAUCAUGUAGAUAACUAGAGUAGAUUAUGACUUAGUAGAUAGUUGAUAACUUAGAAUCCAUUCUCUAGCUAAUCCGACGUUACCUUACAUAUAUGAGGAGUAGUCUAUUUUCUAAUCGCUGUGUUAUUUACCCAUGAACUUAUAAUUCAUUAUCAUUAUCUUUAUGGUUUACCCCCUGACAAAGUAAGUGACUGUGUGACGAGUUCCUCAUUAGUAAUCAUGUUCUUGCAAGUUUAUCUCUAGUCUAUGCCUUGAUCGAUUUUGUCCUUAUUUUAAUUUCAUCCCUUUUGUUCUCUUAAGAAAAAUUAUAAAUAACAAUACCUGGAAUACUUAUCCUAGUGUAAUGCUACAAUGAGGUGUUUUAUCUGUGCGCUUGCGGAUAGAAUAGAUUAUUUUCUAGAGAGCCUUUACAUUUAUAAAUACCUUUGUACACUCUGGCACCAUGCUGGGGAUGACAACAUACUAUCUAAGUGGUGUUAACUAGUGUCAAAAAGCAUUUCUUGCGCCGUUGCCGGGGAUCAAAAGGGUAAUACAUAGGAACGGUAAGGAAAGUCAGGAAAUCAGUCAAGGUUAUUCAUAUAAAAUAUUAGACUAGACUAUAGAGAAAUAAUUGCAUAAACAGCUACUAAGUGAGAAAUCAUAACAAAGCAUGUCUGCUUUGGCAGGUUCACCCUGUUGUUUUUCUAUGUUUAUAUUAUUAUACAGGGUAUAUCAGGAUUGACUUUGGGUACAUUCAACUCUUCAUCAUCAGAACCAAAGCAAUCAAGAGAAGAAGAAGCUAGCUACCAAUUGCUGAAGCUAUGGCACAGAAGUCCCUACAAGAAUUCUCUACUCCAAGCCUUGAGAACAUUCUAACUGGUCCAAGAUUUGCAGUAGAAGAAGGAGUACCCGAGUUUGAGCUCAAGUCAAGCCUCAUCAAUUUGUUGCAAGCUACACAAUUCAGUGGAAAGGCACAUGAAGAUGCUAGUGCACACUUGCAGAAUUUCUUAGAAAUUGGAAGCACAAUCCACAUCAACGGAGUUGACAAAGACGUCAUACUGCUUCGCCUUUUUCCAUUCUCACUAGAAGGGAAAGCGAGGAAGUGGUUCUACACUCAUCAAGAUAACAUCAACAACUGGACGAACUUGUCAGAUGCCUUUCUAUCAAAGUUUUUCCCUAUAGGCAAAACAACUGCCUUAAGAUGAAAUAUUGUCAGUUUCCAACAGCAGAAGAUAGAAACCAUUUCAGAACCAUGGUGGCGUUUUCAAGGAUACAUAUCAGAUUAUCCUCACCAUGGGAUGGCCACAUGGUUACUUAUGCAGACCUUCUACCAUGGAUUAUCCCAGAAGGCUCGUGAGUGCCUAGAUGCAUCUGCUAAAGGAUCAUUCUUGGAGCUUACAAUUGGGAAAGUAGAGAUACUUUUGGAUAAGAUAGCAGAAAACCAAAGCUGGUUCCAAGAUGAAGCUCAACAAUGUCAUCAAACUGAAGAAAUACCAGAAGAAGUAAAUGCAUUAUCAACUAAGAUGGAAAAUUUGCUCCAUUGGAUUGACCAGAGGACCAAGUUCGAAGAAGAUCAAAGGGCCAUUGAGAUAGCAUACAAAUAUCAAACAACUCUGAGUCAACCCAAUAGCAAAGGUAUGAAUUCAGGUAACACUUUCAAGCAACUUUCAUUAAAAGAGAUAAUUGCUCGAUAAACCAAAAUUAAUGAUGAAGUUAAACAAAGGCUAGAUACAAAUGAAUCAUCUCUAAAAGAUAUACACAAUAAAAUGGAUUUUCUAUUAACUGCCUUUGAUGAGCAAAACACUCUUAAUAAAAGGGUAGAGCUUAAAUUAAUAAAGUUAGUGUUGCGGUCCUUAAUGCUCAUAUUUAACCAUCAACUCAUCAUGGAAAAGGAUCCAAAUGCAACCAACACCUAGACUUAGGGUUUUAUCUGACAGAAUUCCACGAGUUUUGGUGUUUGUCUAUUUCUGCAGGGGGUUAUUAGGAAAUACGGAGGAAAGGCCCAACGUCGGGUUUACAUAGAGAUAUUAACGUGCCGCGCAAUUUUCUAUUAUCUAGAAGACUGCAGAAGCCACGAGAACAAAGCGAAAGCCGAGAGGACUCAGGGAUAGGGCGCCCGCCCUACUCUCCUGGGCGCCCGCCCUCACAUAGAGUCCAAUCAGGACUUUAUUUCGGGAUAUUGCUCCACCGACCUAAAGGAUCAAGGAUAACCGUUCAAUCAAUGUCGGUUUGAUCCAACGGCCCAGAUUCAUUGGAAGGGACUAUAAAACCAGACCCCCUGGCCCCUGGAGAUCAUACCUCUUCUACAGAAUCAAAGUUAGGGUUUCAAUUCUUCAACCAAGUAGAGAGGAUCCCUCUAGUUAUUCUAGUUCUACCUCUAGUUCAUCUAGAUCUAGUUCUAGUUCGUCUAGUUCUAGUUCUAGUUCCUCUAGUUCUAGUUCUAGUUAGUUCUAGUUGUAAUCUAGAAAAUAGAGAGAGAGAAGAGGAGAGCAGAGGGGGAGGAGCCGGAUCUGUCGGAUCUUCCUCAACAUUGUACUUUUGCAGCAACUGGUUCGUUCUUCAUCGUUCUCCAGGUUCUUCAAUUCAUAAUUCCGGAGUUCUUUAAUUAUUUUUAUUUACAUUCAAGUUAUUUAUUGGAUUCCCGCUUGCAUCAAGUGCUCUAGUCUUUAUAACGCUAGAGUAGUAAUUAGUAGAUUAGACGUGGUGUUUAGUCUUGCAAUUACCUGGAAUUGCACCCAAUCCUGCGGAUUGUUGUGGUAGCCUUAGGGUAGUGACAGCCCUAACGGUCGACGUAUUCCACCUCGUUCGGAUCGGUGUUUGUAGGACUGUAGCCAGACCUUCCUAGCCCCCUUCUCAUCUCUUUCUAUGGUUAGUGCUCUAAUGUCCCGAUAUAGAUAAUCUUGAAGUAAUUCUUGAUUCUUAGAUCAACUAGAGAACUCUCAGGAAACUUCCUCUCUUCCCACCAAAAAUAAUUAUAUAGUUAUCCUUGGGCGAUCUUGGAUCUUAAUUAGUACACUCACGUUCUCUGUGGAAAAUCGAUACUCUGGAAUACUCCCGGGUGAAGGCUACAUCGGUAUCCGUGCGCUUGCGGAUUUUUUUGUUUGCGUCUAAAAUACCCAACAAUCUUUCUGGCGCCAUUGCCGGGGAACGGUUGUUGUGCUAGUUUCGAACCAAGUCGUCCGUGUAUCCUUUUUCUUUUCCUUUUUUACCACACUCACCUUACCAUUUUCACCAAACCACAUGGAUUUCACUCUAAGCAUUAAUGAGCAUGGAAUUUAUUUCAUAGCCACUUCAUUUACUCCAUGCUCAUAUGUAACAUCUUCACAAUCCAUUGGUCUCUCCAACAUCACCACAUUCGAGAUCUCCAACCCCCACUUCCUUUCUAUUUAUAAAAACUUUAAAAGGGCGGUUGUCGAUGCAUAUGUCUAUAAUAAAUUUUGUAGAUCUCGUUGAGUGAUAUUGAUAUAGGUCAGCGUUGGAGGGGAAACCACUUCGCUGACACAAAUUAAUGGUUUCCCAAGGACAAGCUUAGUGUCCUAAACCAAGCACUGAUCAGAUUGUAACAUGAGCUUUUAAUUAUUUGCAACAUUACCUUGUGUGUUGAGCAUAUAAGGAUAAUUGUAAAAAAAAUUCCUUCGGGUAUUCUUGUCACUAACCUUUUCAGGAUUGGAGCAAGAAGAUCAGAUGAAUGACAAGCACAAGGUAUGUCCAACCAACCAUCAUACAACAUUGAAUUAAAUUCAUCUAAACUUGAAUUUUGCAAAAUUCAAGCUUGGGGGAGUACUUUACAUAAAAUCAUCCUUUGCCAUGUUGCUAUGUUGGUUGUCCCUACCUUUGAGACAUGCUCAAUUUGCUAAACACUAAUCAUUCUACUUCAUCUCCACUUGAGUAGAUCUCUAUAAAUGCUCUCAGGCUACCUUUAUUUGCUUUAGUAUAUGUCUAGGUUUGGAGUAGUUUCAUUUAUCUCUUAAUUAUGCAUGGUGCUUAGUUUAGGAAUGAUGAUCUUACUUCCAAAGGAUUUUAAAUUAAGUAUAGUGCUUAGGUUAAAAUACCCUCCUAAAUGAAAUUAGACAUGGUGUCUAGGUUGAUUUUUGAGCCGAUAGUAUGCUAUAGUAGAUAUUGGAUAUUUUGUUGGACUAACCCCUAUAGGAAAACUUUCAAUAUCGACCUGGGAAGUCCUGAGAUAAACUCACAUUGGAGACAAAGAGAGAGACGCAUGAAGUUUAACAAUUUACACAAGGAAGGCAUAGCUCAUAAGAGAUGAUCCAUGGAGGGUGCUACAAACACGAUGCACGACCGCUAAGAAAGGAAAGCUUUCACAAGGUGAUACUAUACUAUCACUCUUCAAGUAAGAUAACAUCUUAAGGUACUUGACUAUCACUUUUAUAAGUUUCUCCUUGGUUCUAGCGUUCACAUGAAUAAAAGAGACAAACAUGUAUGAUUUACAACUCUAGAUUAACCAACCCAAUCGAUUCAAUAUGUUUAGCCCUUCCACCUUUGUGAUUCCACACUCCUAAUCAUAUAAGUUAAAAUGUUGCACACGCAAUCUUUGGAAGAUAUAUAUAGAUUAUCUUUCCAUUAGGUUGAGCGAUCUGAUCUGACAAAUAUUUUAAAUACUACACUCAUGAUCUUAUUAUCCAUCAACUUUGUCUUGCUCACUAUGCUUAAGGUUAGAGAAGAACAAAUACGCUUUUGGUUCUGUAGGUGUUUUCCACCAAUAGGGCCCAUGCACUUGAUCUCUGCCUUGUCUCUAUGAGCAGGUACACUUUGAGCAUCAUAUGAAGGAGUUUACAACUCCCAGACUCCACCAAGAGAAGAACCUGGAUCUACGAGCACAAACACAUUGGAGAUACUGGACACUCAGGCAAUCACUGCCCUGAGAUGCUCGAGGACGUAACUUCUGGAGUAACCCUGUUGUGGAAGUAAUUACUGACCUUCUGCCGGUCAAGAGAGACAAUCCAGGACGCCCCGUCAUCCCGAUCUCCAUCGGCAUGGUGGACUUCCUAGAAGCACUCUGCGACUUUGGCUCCAGCGUCAACAUUAUGCCUAGGGUACUCUAUGAAAAAUUCUUUACACAUCCUUUACUAGAAACAACCAUGUGUUUGCAGCCUGCAGAUCGGACACUAAGUUUCCCAAAGGGAAUAUUGAAGAACCUCUGCGUCUGAGUUGGUACCUUGUACGCUCCAGUAGACUUCAUGGUGAUAGAGACUGGUACUGAUGAGAGGGCACCCAUCAUCCUAGGGAGAACAUUCCUGAACACCUCGGGAGCUGCCAUCUACGCUAGUGUUGCCUAGAUCAAUUUCUACAUCAAGGGGAGGAAGGAGACAUUUUCCUUCAAGAACAAGACUACACAAAUCUCAAAGCAAUCCCGACAUGAACCAAAGAAGAUGACCAACAGGAGGAACAGGAACAAGCAAAUAUGGACCGAGUCAGCUAAGAUGGUCACUGCAGUUCAAGGACGUCAAGAUCAUCGAUUUAAGUCACCGUUCUUGACCAAAAAGGAUGACCUAGGUAUGCCAAGUAUCCCAUGCUCCAUUAAUGGAUACAACUUCCAGAAGAUGCUUUGCAACACCGGGUCAGGCGUCAACAUAAUGGCCGCAGUCACCUAUCAAGCUCCUAUUCGGAACCAUGCCCUUAAAACCGACAUACAUUUAGCUCCAGAUGGCAGAUCAGAGAUUCCAAAAGAUUUUCAGGUUAUUGACAUGAGAGAAGACAAGUAUGAUCCACCCAUCAUCCUUGGAGACCGUUCCUCAGCACCGUUAAAUCAAUCAUCUACAUUGGAACCAGAGAAGUCCACAUGCACUUCCCCUCUGAGAAGGUACGCUGCUAUUUUACUGACCCUAACUAUAUAGUUGAAGACUCUAAGCAGGUCAGGACAAGAAGAAGACGACGUAACCGCAACCAGAGGAGGCAAAUCAUCAAGGACGGAUGGGCGGACUGCGAGUCUACGAAGGAGAAGUGCACCGAGGCAGGUGUGGAGAGAGAAUAUAGUUAUACAUGAAGAGAAGGCGCCGCCGGAACCACCGACUACGCCAUCCAGCGAAUCCCAGGACGACUGAGAAAAUGGAGAGUCCCGUUCGGAGGACUUAAACACAACAAACGCCUUGCCAAGAGGUAAACUUGGUAGUUAUCUUUUCAUUAAUGUGCUUAGUUAAUCAGGUUUAUAUCAUCUUGAAAAGAAAAUAAAAAUGUUAAAAAUAGUAAGCCCCAUGUGAGUAUGCUCAUGGCAUAAAACCCAUAAGUACAUUCACUGUGGUGGCGUAAAAACAAAAUAAAUAUAUUCCUGUCCUAUAAAAUCACAUUCUCACACUAGAUUAUGAUCCUACUAAAGAGANNNNNNNNNNNNNNNNNNNNNNNNNNNNNNNNNNNNNNNNNNNNNNNNNNNNNNNNNNNNNNNNNNNNNNNNNNNNNNNNNNNNNNNNNNNNNNNNNNNNACCCCAUUUAUCCAGCUAAGUGUUCUACUCACGUUUAUACUUUACUCAAAUAAUAAAAAGAUGCAUAAUCAUAAAAACCCAAAUAAAGAUUUUGUGCUUAUAUAUAUAGUGCUUAGUUUGCUAAAUAAAUAAAUAAAUAAAGUUUGCUAUGUGUUGGGUAUUCUUAACAUCAUUACCAAAAGUAGACUAAGUUCUCUAAAUCUAGUAACGGUGCCAAAAAUGCCAAACCUAUCCCUCACACCACUUAAGCCAAGUUGUCAUCCCCAGCAUGAUAUAAGAGACGCGGUAUUGAAAUAUGCAAUUGCUCUUCUAAAUAAAUAAUGAAUUGGAUCUGCAAGCGCACAGAUUAAUACCGAUGUAGCAUUUUAACCGGGAAGUAUUCCAGGUAUCGUUAUUUAUAUUUUUACCACUGGGAAGGGAUUAGAAAUCAUCACUAAUGAUUACAGAAUAGAAUAUGAGAUUGAGCAUGUAUCGUUGCAUGUAUAAUUGAGAACAUUAUAUCUAACUUCUCAUGCAGGGAUAAGUGUCACAUAAAAGAUAUAUGAAAUAAUAAUAGUGACAAGGAUAACUAAUCUGAUCUAGCCACAUAAUAAAUAUGAUAAGCACCUCAAUUAGAUACUCUAGAAAGUCAUUAGCAUGGUAUUAGAACGAACUACAAGAAUAUUCCCUAAGUUAUUCUCAACUAUAUAGUCUAGCAUUAUCAUAGUUAGUGCAAGCAUACUUAGCAAUCAUUGCGAGACAAGACUACGCCCAUGCAUAGUGAUAUUAGCAAGGAAUAUGAGAAACAUAGCAAUCACUCCCCUGUAAUAAUGUUGCUCUGCUAGCCCAAUACACGAGAGGGGGACUAUAUAAGAAUCAAUGAAGCUGUCACUAUCACGAACCACCCCACGAUCUGGCAUAUUGGGUACAAUCGCAGAUAAAUACGGUAUAAGCACCACGCCUACACAAUAUCUAUCAUUUACCCAUGGAUCCGAUGGAUAAACGCUAUACGAUCCUAAGCAUGUAUAUAGAUCCAAUCUAACUAAGCCAAGUACAUAACUAUGAUAAACUAAGAACAAUAUAAUCUUGAAUAUAAGCAAGUAGAGCAAAGUCAUAAGCAAUAUAUUGAAGUAGAACAAAGUCAUAUUCAUAAUAUUGAAGAACAAAGAUAAUUAGAAAGUAAUUAGAAGCACAAUUAGAGAAUUACCAAGAAUCCUCUUGACAGAUCCGGAAACCAAUCGAAGAUUGACUCCUUCUAAUUCUAAUCCUUUGUAGCUAUGCUAAUCUAGAUAUCUAAUUGAUGUGGUGGCUCUAAUCUUGAUCAGAGGCUUCUUCUCCCUUGAUGGAACAAUGAAUUAGGGUUGAGAGGCUCUCUCCUCCAGGGGCCAGGGGGUCUGGUUUUAUAGUCCCUUCAAGUGAAUAUGGGCCCUUGGAUCAAACAGACAUAGAUUGUAUGGUUUAGAUUCAUCCUUUAGGUCGGUGGAGAUCUCCCGCAAAGCAAAGUCCUGAUUGGACUCCUGGAGGGGGCGGGCGCCCUGCCUCUGGCCCCGUUUCGCCUCCACUUCGGUCUCGUGGCUUCUGGAGUCUUCUAGAUGUAAGAUAAUUGCGCAGCACGUUAAUAUCUUUACGUAAUCCCGACAUGUGGGCCUUUCUUCCAUAUUUCCUGAUAACCCCCUGCAGAAAUAGACAAACACCAAAACUCGUGGAAUUCUGUCAGAUAAAACUCUAAGUCUAGAUGUUGAUUUCAUUUGGAUCCUUUUCUUUAUUUAUUUGAUAAUUAAAUUUGAUACUUAAGGACCGUCAACACUAUGAACCCUCAUGAUAAGCUCUCAUAUGGAAAUGAUGAAUAGUUGCUCUACCAUGACUAGUUCUCAAAAUUGAAAUCUCUCUCAAGUUUGGGCAUGACUGUUAUUAAUUAAGAUUUGCUCUAAACCUGAACUUGUGCGGAGAGUACUUGAUCUGAAAUCUAAGUCGUUAACGGAUAUGAUAUGGGAAGGUUGAGCUGCUGUUUAUCUGUUCCUAGAGAUGCUAGAAUUCUAGAGAAUUUUAUCUUUGAAAAUCUUUAAAAUGUUGCAUGAUGAGUUCCUGUAUGAUGAGAGUUUAAAUUCCUACCACUGCCAUAUAUACAUGCUUGCUAGACUAUGAGCCACAUAUUUACUUUUUACUGCUUAUGAGCAUUAAGUGUGGUCAAGUUGUGUAGACCCAUAGGAGCUUGUCAUGUGGUUAAAUCAAGAUUCACUUGCACGUUCACUCAUACAUGCUACUUCUACUUCGGAAGUACGCAUCCACAUAUAUCCAUCCAUUUCCAUCUCCAGAACCACCCAAAAAUAUUCUACUCCUAAUCCGGGAGAGAAUAGCCAAAAACUUUCUCCUAUUUCUGUUUUUCCCUGUGAAAUAAAAGAUCAAGUUAUCUUGGUUACUACCACUUGCUAUAUUAUUUCAGGAGAUGAGUGCUCUAAAAAAAGAGAAAGAAAAAAGAAAGAAUACGAGGAAAUAAAAAGGGGCAAGUGCUCGGAACCUCGAAAGAAAAGAAAAACUGAGACGAGAGGUAAAAAUGGACAAGUGUGUGACAGUAGAAUUAGGGGUACAAGAUACCCACCUGAGAGGAAAGAAAAAGAAAAUAUAGAGCAUCUCAUUCUCCUCAAAAAGUUUCAAAAGAGCAAGAAAGGUAUGUAUCCCCUCAAAAGAGCACAAGUAGAAUUAGACUUUCACCAUUGUUAUCACCAUCAUUACCAUGCACCAUUCAUUCGCCACACAUGCACAUCUUGAUUUGACUUAUUGACUUGUUCUUCUGGAUCCAUGGUUUGACUAUGCAAUAAAUGUCUUGUAAGUAUGUAUUAGCUGUCUCCCACCUAUGAGCUCCAGAUAUCAAAACCUUAUUAGAGUAGGGUGAGAGAGAAGGCAAUGUCACUAUGCCUCAUACCAAUAAUACCACAUACUUUGAGAGAAGGCAUACACCAUUACUGCCUUGGUAAGGAUCCAGAAAUACCACAAAAGAGAGAUUAGAGAGAGUCAUACAAGGAAUCUCUUAGUUUUAUUUGAAAAUCUGUAAAAACUCUAGAGCUAUAGUUGAUCAAGAAUAAGAGACAGGGCGCUUGACUAGACCGUUCUAUCUUUUAACUACUCAAGAGACAGGUGACGGUUGCAAGCCCCAUGGUGGAAGGUAAUAUGAGUAAGUUUAAAUCUUAACAGUUUACCCUAACCUAGAGAUGAGAUUUGUUUGAACGCAUGUGUAUCUUUAAGGCAUGAAACCACUGCAGAAACUCUUGAGUUCAUCUUUGCUCAGGGACGAGCAAAGGUUAAGCUUGGGGGAGCUUGUUGACGGUCCUUAAUGCUCAUAUUUAACCAUCAACUAAUCAUGGAAAAGGAUCCAAAUGCAACCAACACCUAGACUUAGGGUUUUACCUGACAGAAUUCCACGAGUUUUGGUGUUUGUCUAUUUCUGCAGGGGGUUAUCAGGAAAUACGGAGGAAAGGCUCACACGUCGGGUUUACAUAGAGAUAUUAACGUGCCGCGCAAUUUUCUAUUAUCUAGAAGACUCGAGAAGCCACGGGAUCAAAGCAGAAGCCGAGAGGACUCAGGGACAGGGCGCCCGCCCUACUCUCCUGGGCGCCCGCCCUCACAUAGAGUCCAAUUAGGACUUUAUUUUGGGAUAUUGCUCCACCGACCUAAAGGAUCAAGGAUAAUCGUUCAAUCAAUGUCGGUUUGAUCCAACGGCCCAGAUUCAUUUCAAGGGACUAUAAAACCAGACCCCCUGGCCCCUGGAGAUCAUACCUCUUCUACAGAAUCAAAGUUAGGGUUUCAAUUCUUCAUCCAAGUAGAGAGGAUCCCUCUAGUUCUUCUAGUUGUACCUCUAGUUCAUCUAGAUCUAGUUCUAGUUCAUCCAGGUCUAGUUCUAGUUCCUCUAGUUCUAGUUCUAGUUAGUCCUAGUUGUAAUCUAAAAAAUAGGGAGAGAGAAGAGGAGAGCGGAGGAGGAGGAGCCGGAUCUGUCGAAUCUUCCUCAACAUUGUACUUUUGCAGCAACUGGUUCGUUCUUCAUCGUUCUCCAGGUUCUUCAAUUCAGAAUUCCUGAGUUCUUUAAUUACUUUUAUUUACAUUCAAGUUAUUUAUUGGAUCCCCGCUUGCAUCAAGUGCUCUAGUCUUUAUAACGCUAGAGUAGUAAUUAAUAGAUUAGACGUGGUGUUUAGUCUUGCAAUUACCUGGAAUUGCACCCAAUUCUGCGGAUUGUUUUGGUAGCCUUAGGGUAGUGACAGCCCUAACGGUCGACGUAUUCCACCUCGUUCGGAUCGGUGUUUGUAAGACCGUAGUCAGACCUUCCUAGCCCCCUUCUCAUCUCUUUCUGUGGUUAGUGCUCUGAUGUCCCGAUAUAGAUAAUCUUGAAGUAAUUCUUGAUUCUUAGAUCAACUAGAGAACUCUCAGGAAACUUCCUCUCUUCCCACCAAAAAUAAUUAUAUAGUUAUCCUUGGGCGAUCUUGGAUCUUAAUUAGUACACUCACGUUCUCUGUGGAAAAUCGAUACUCUGGAAUACUCCCGGGUGAAGGCUACAUCAGUAUCCGUACGCUUGCGGAUUUUUCUGUUUGCGUCUAAAAUACCCAAUAGUUAGCUGCUGCACUGCCUGUCGCUACUAACAUUUAGCAGGUAAAGAAUAUAACUACUAGAGGAGGCAAAGCCACCAGAGAACCCCCAUACCCAAAAGAGAAACAAAGAACAUCAGCACCAAUGCAACCAUCAGUGAUAGAAGAAGAAAGAGAAGAUCUGCGGCAACCACCAAGAACUAGAGAAAUGAGGAAAGAUUUUUACGCACCAACUAUUUGCUAUUUUCCACAAGAAACAGAGGACUGCAGUCGGAUGAGCAGUUUGGUACCUACAUAUGCAAAGUACAUCAGAGAUAUUCUUAACAAGAAGAGACCACUGCCCACCACUGAGGUUAUCAAGGUGACAGAAGAAUGUAGUGCGGCCAUCCUCAACAAACUACCAACGAAGAAGAAGGAUCCAGGAUGCCCCACUAUUGAUUGCUCGAUCAGAAACCAACACUUCAAUAAUGCACUUUGUGAUCUCGGAGCAAGUGUCAGUGUGAUGGCAGCAUCAGUCUACAAAAAGCUUGAGCAUGCGACCCUAGAACCAACAUCAAUGUGCCUAGAACUAGCGGAUCAAUCGGUUCGACACCCGCUGGGUAUCGCCGAGAACAUUCCAGUCAAGAUCAGAGAUUUCCUGGUGCCAGUAGACUUCGUAGUACUGGACAUGAGUCCUGACUCAAAAGUGUCCAUCAUCCUUGGAAGGCCAUUUCUGAGCACUGCCAAUGCCCACAUUGAUGUCGGGAAAGGAGAAAUCGAGUUCAACAUAAACGGACAAGAAGAACACUUCACAUUCAAACCCAGACCAGAGAGAGACUCUAUAGUGAAGGAAGUUCAUGAAGAACCACUCGAGACACCAUCUGUGGAGGAAGGUAAUUCAGAAGAUUAAAAGAUUUGGAGGUCCAGCUUGGGGGACCUAAAAAUCCCAAACCCUCACCGGGAGGUAAAUCGGUAUUUAUCCGCAUAAUUAAUUCUUGCAUUAGUCAUAUAUAUUCAUAGCAUUAUUACAAUAAUAAAAAGCCCCAUAUAAAUAAUAUUUAUGGUGUGUAACAACCCAUAUUUAUUAAUUAUUGUGGAGGCACAAAAAUAUUUUUCAUUAUCAUUUCAAAUAAGUUUCAAUUCUCAUAGAUUUUCCUGCACUAUAUUUAAUUAUAUCAACCUUCUAGAAGCAUGACCCACACUCCUUGGGUCCCACAUGUCAUACACCACACCUCACAUACAUCCCAUCACAUUAUUUGAUCCACCAACAUUUCUCCACUAACCAGCACUUUUCCACCGGCCAACCACCACCCAUGAUACAUUAUCUGGCGUGAGAAUUAAGUAGAGAAGGGAGUGGAGAAAGGGCAGCCAGGAUGGGCACCACAAGUGGGCGCCCGCCCACCUACCAAGGGCGCCCGCCCUGCCCCCUCUUCCUCCUAUAAAUAGCCACCUUCUACCUCCAUCUUCUUCACACACGCAUUCCAGAAAACCACACAAGUUUCAGUUUCCAGAGAAGGAGCUCUUGUAGUGAAGUAGAGAAGAAGAGAAGAGUGGAAAAGAAGUUGGUAGUUUUUGAGUGAGAGAGUGAGUUUCACCUAGUAAGUAGUGAUCCCGCUGUCCAAGCAGAAGUAAAAGUUGUUUAGGGGGAGGUUCUGCCAAAAUAGAAACUUGUCUUGAACGACUAACCCCUGGACUACUGACAUUCCGAACAGCUGACCACUAACAUUUUCUCUCACAUUUUCCACUAGUUGUGUUUUUGCCAACUUUUGUUUACAGGAUGUUUAAGAAGGUGAAGAACGCAGGGAAGGCUCUCAAGAACAUUGGUACAAGGAGUUCAUCCCGACACUCCUCACACCCAUCAGAGAUGAGCGUCGACCCGACACCCACACAAUCUCCGUCAUCUUCAUCUAAUCAGCAAGUUAAGGUCCUUCUCAAGAUAGGAGACCUUGGACUAAAGACCCGAAGGGAAAAGGAAGUCUAUCAGCAACUAAAGAACAAAGAUUUCAUUUACACCCCUACUCUUGAUCCAAUCUUACUACAAGAAACAGAUUGCAGCAACACCGGUGAAUCAGAGAGCUCCACAGCGAGUGGCAUCUGAAAGGAUGAACACCCAAGAAUGCACAUGGUAUGGAGCUGAUCCCGGGCCAGAAGAAGGAGCGCACCUGCAUUAUAGCGACUACAACUCCCGAGUCCUUCGAGACCCAUGGGUUCGACAUGCGCAACCACAAGAGCCUACACAGGAGACAUGGCCGGAGAGCCAAGAUCACCAGUGGACAAACCUGUCUUUUCAUACGGGCAGGUACUCCACUGAUCCAUAUGGAGCUUCAGGAUCCAGACCUCCGCCCCAAUUUGAUGUAGGACGAUACUCGGAUGCCUCCUACGCUUUCACGAACGACUACUACCAAGAGGCCGGUGCUUUCUUCACCCGUACCGACAACACUCUCCUCGACAUCCAGAACACGCAAGCAGAACAUGGACGACUCCUGGAAGAGCAACAAAAAUGGAACCAGAACUAUGCCACUGCAGUACAAGAGCUGAGACAAGAUACAACAACAAUGAACGACAACAUCACAACCAUGAUACGGUUCUGGAACAUCGGGUAAGGCCGACAUCAACAUCUAGCUUGGGGGAGUCCCUCCCCAAUUUAUCAAGUAAGUUUUUAUUUGCUCUUCUUAUUUAUUCUUUUCUGUUUAAGUGUUUUAUUUAUCUUAUGGAGAAAAACUUAGAAAUCCUAAUAAAUAUUUUCUUGCUUUAAAUUACUGCAUUCUAUAAAUAUAAAAACAAGAUAAAAAGAGUGUGUAGAUAAGUGUGCUUUAUUUUCCUGCUAAGUGUUAAUCUCUAGAAAAAUAAAAAGAUCAAAAAAAUACACGAUGGAAAUGAUGAACAGUUGCUCUGUUUGCUUACUUUCAAGUACCUAGCUUUUAUAUUAGAGUUCUUCCAGGAAUUAUUAAAACUGAAAUUACUACCUAUGGGAAGCAUAAAACUAAAGUCUAGGUAAGAGAAAGACAUGAUAUAAAGUUAAGCUGCUGUUUAUCUUGUUCCUACUACACUAAGUUCUAGACAUUUAUUUUGGAAACUUACAAAUCACAUGAUGAGUUCCUAGCAUAACAAAAUUCCUAUCACAGCCAUACUUGUUAUAACAUCUUUUACUAUUCACAUUGAGUUUGAUCGAGCUGUGUAGACCCUUAGGAGCUUUUCAUGUGGUUAAAUUAAGAUAUUCACUUCCACACAUCUACUACACCAUCCAUCACCAUUCAAUAAAAUUGCUAAAAAUAUUAUCACUCACUGUCGUAAGUAUUGUUAUUCUCUCUCUCUAAAAAGAUUCAAUGCAGAAGAGGCAUGGGUUACGCAAAAAUAUGCGAGGAAAUAAAAAGGGGCAAGUGCUCGGAACCUUGAAAAAGAAAGAAAAAGAGUGAGACAAGAGGUAAAAAUGGACAAGUGUCCGGAGUAGAAUUAGGGGUACAAAGAUGCCCACUUGAUCGGAAAAAAUGGACAAGUGUCCGACAAUAGAAUUAGGGGUAUCUACUACCCACCUGAAAAAAAAGAAAAGAAAAAGAUAGCCCUUGUUCUCCCAAAGCAAAGAUCAAAGAAGAGGAGAGAUAGCAAUAUGAGGAGCAAUGAGAAGUAAGAUUUAUUAUCACUUAUACAUUUUCACUAUUACUAUCAUUUAUUCCAUCACACAUGCACAUCUUGAUUUAAUUAUAUGCUGAGUUCCUUUGGAUCCAUGUAUCGAUUAGACAACAUAUGUAUGAGCUAAUAUUCCAUUAGCUAUAGGUAAGUGACAUUUUGAUAAGGAUCCACAAAUUCCACAUAUAGAGAGACUUGAGAGAUCAUUGCUUGGAACUCUGAGUUUUAUUUUGAAAACUUAUGCAAAAACUCUGGAACAAAGGUGAAGCAUAGACAGGAGGAAUAGUGCUUGACUUAAUUAUUUUGUCUUUCAGUUACUUAAGACUUAAGUACAGGUACUAAGUUCCAUAACACUUCACUCUGAUCUGGAAGAAUUUUAUAAAAGCAUGUGUGCCUGUAAGGAAAGAAAACAUCGAAGCAACUCCUGAUCCGUUUGAGUUUAGCUGUUUGCUCAGGGACGAGCAAAGGGUAAGCUUGGGGGUGUUUGUUGAGGGUCCUUAAGUACUAAAAUUAACAAUCAAAUAAACAUGGAAAAGGAUCAAUAUGCACCAAACAUCUAGAAUUAGGGUUUUAUCUGACAGAAUUCCACAAGCUUUGGUGUUUAUCUAUUUCUGCAGGGGGUUAUCAGAGAAUAUGGAGAGAAGGCCCACAUGUCAUGUUUACAACGAGAUAAUUACAUGCUGCGCAAUUUUCCUCAGUCUAGAAGAGUCCAUAAGCCACAGGAACGAACGAGGAGACGAUCGGGCUCGGGGGCAGGGCGCCCGCCCACACCCCUUGGGCGCCCGCCCAGGGUUAGAGUCCAAUCAAGACUCUCUUUCGGGACCACGCUCCACCGACCUAAAGGAUGAAUCUAAACCAUACAAUCAAUGUCGGUUUGAUCCAACGGCCGAAAUUCACUUGAAAGGACUAUAUAACCAAGGCCUCUCCAACCCUCGGGAGAGAGGAGAAGAGAAGAAAUCAUUAUUCAGAGGUAGCCAUCAAAGUUAGGGUUUAGAGCUUCUCUCCCACAGAGAAUUAGAAUUAGCUACUCCCUAAUCCUUCAAGUUUAGAGGUUUGACUAGAUAGCAAUUAGAGAUUGGUAUUAUUCAUAUCUUUCUCUAAUUCUUUGUUCUAAUUGCAUUAUGUCUCUAAUUAUUAUGUUCUUAGUUUGCUCUAGUUCUAUAUUUGAUAUAGUUAUGAUUGAUAAUGAGUUUAUGUAUAAGUUUGCAAAGCGCUUAGCUCUUGACGCGAGGGAGUUAAGUGGUAGAUCACAUGUGAGCCUGGUGCUUAAAUGUUAUUUAUCUGCAAAUGUAUCCUAUUGGCCGGGUCAUGUGGUAGUUCAUGAUAGUGACAGCUUCGUUGAUUCUUAUAUAUUCCACCUCCGUUGAUAGGACAGGCAGAACUUGUAUUGCGGAGUAAGUCUUGCGAUGUUCUGAUUUACUUUAGCAAUGUUCCUUAUACAUGAAUGAAGAGUCUUUUAUGCUAUAUAUGAUCUUGUAGAUAACUAGAGUAGAUUAUGACUUAGUAGAUAGUUGAUAACUUAGAAUCCAUUCUCUAGCUAAUCCGACGUCACCUUACAUAUAUGAGGAGUAGUGUAUUUUCUAAUCGCUGUGUUAUUUACCCAUGAACUUAUAAUUCAUUAUCAUUAUCUUUAUGGUUUACCCCCUGCCAAAGUAAGUGACUGUGUGACGACUUCCUCAUUAGUAAUCAUGUUCUUGCAAGUUUAUGUCUAGUCUAUGCCUUGAUAGAUUUUGUCCUUAUUUUAAUUUCAUCCCUUUUGUUCUCUUAAGCAAAAUUAUAAAUAACGAUACCUGGAAUACUUAUCCUGGUGAAAUGCUAUAAUGAGGUGUUUUAUCUGUGCGCUUGCGGAUAGAAUAGAUUAUUUUCUAGAGAGCCUUUACAUUUAUAAAUACCUUUGUACACUCUGGCACCAUGCUGGGGAUGACAACCUAGUAUCUAAGUGGUGUUAACUAGUGUCAACACCGCCCUCCCCCCUUACAAAAAAUCUCAUCCCGCGAUUUGGAAGCUUACUGAUUUUCGAAGAAGGUUUUAUAAACUUCUUUUAAAUAGUCCUCUGUUUCCCAAGUGGCAUCUUCCUCCCCGUGGUUACUCCACAACACCUUGUAGAACUUAACCACACGAUUACGAGUCACCCGUUCCUUGCGGUCAAGAACCGCUACAGGUUUUUCUUCAUACACCAAGUCAGAUUUCAACUUGAUAUCCCGAACUUCCACUUGCUCCUCUAGAACACGAAGGCACUUCUUCAAUUGUGACACGUGAAAGACAGGAAAGAUAUCUCGGAGCUCAACUGGUAGUUGAACUUUGUACGCCACGUUCCCUUUCUUCUCAAGAAUCUGAUAAGGUCCCACAUAAUGAGGUGCAAGCUUUCACUUGACUCCGAACCUUUGUACGCCCUUCAUCGGAGACACCUUGAUAUACACAUGGUCACCGACUGCAAACUCAAUUGGCUUCCUUCUCUUGUCAGCAUAACUUUUCUGACGAGCUUGAGCAGCUUCCAGAUGUUGCUGGAUGGUACGGACUUGCUGCUCCGCUUCGUUUACGAAAUCAAUGCCAUAAUACCUUCGUUCCCCGGAUUCCACCCAGUUCAACGAGGUUCGACACUUUCGACCAUAUAGGGCUUCAAAUGGAGCCAUCUUGAUACUCUCUUGAUAACUAUUGUUAUAAGAGAACUCAGCCAACGGUAACCAUUUUACCGAAGAACCCUUUGAAGAGAGAGCACAUGCCCUCAACAUGUCUUCUAGGAUUUGGUUAACACGUUCAGUUUGGCUGGUCGUUUGGGGAUGAUAAGCAGAACUACGGACCAAGUGAGUACCAAUCUGCUCAUGAAGACACUCCCAAAAACGGGCAGUGAACUGUGGUCCAUGAUCUGAUAUGAUAGUUCGAGGCACACCAUACUGACGAACAAUGUGCUCGAAGUACAACUCCACAUAUUGAUGUGGACGAUAGUCAGUUCGAACUAGAAUAAAACGAGCAACCUUGGUCAAACGGUCUACAAUCACCCAGAUAGAGUCGUAACCCUUAACCGAAGUUGGAAGUCGAACGAUGAAAUCCAUGCUGACUUCUUCCCAUUUCCAACCAAGAAUUGACAAGAGUUGAAGCAAACCGGCUUUCAUGUGAACGGCCUUCACACGACAACAAUUGUCACAACGAGCGACAAAAGCAGCAAUCACCUUUUUCAUCUUUCUCCACCAAAACAGAGGUUUCAAAUCCUGAUACAUCUUGCUACUACCAGGAUGGAUAGACAAUUUGGAUGAAUGAGCUUCAGAUAAGAUCUGAUUUCGUAGCUCACGGUCUUUUGGGACCACAAGUCGAUCUUUGAACCAAAGAAUUCCAUUCUCAUCGACCCGGAAAUGCUUGGUUUCUUCUUCUUUCAUUUUCCUCUUUAUAUGGUGGAUGUCUACAUCUAUUUGCUGCAAUUCGAUGAGCUCCAGGGAAAUCUGGUUGAGCACAAGUGGGUGCAUAAGAUGUGACAACAACGGAUCUUCCACCUGAACUGAGUGACAGUGCGCUUUCCGACUCAAGGCAUCCGCAACCAUGUUUGCCUUGCCCGGAUGGUAGUGCACUUGCAGAUUAUAAUCUUUAAUCAACUCAAGCCACCUUCGUUGCUGCAUGUUCAAUUCAGGUUGAGUGAAGAUGUACUUGAGACUCUUAUGAUCAGUAUAGAUAUUACAUAGGUUACCCAGCAAAUAGUGCCUCCAGAUUUUAAAAGCAUGGACAACUGCAGCCAAUUCUAAGUCAUGAGUAGGGUAAUUGACCUCAUGCUUUCAAAGUUGGCGCGAGGCAUAUGCGAUAACACGACCUUCCUGCGUCAACAUGCAGCCUAGACCAAUACCCGAUGCGUCACAGAAGACAUCGAAGGUCUUCUCGAUAUCAGGUUGAGCUAGGACAGGAGCUGAUGUCAGCAAUGUCCUCAACUUGUGGAAUGCCUCUUCACACUCAGGCGUCCACACAAACUUCUCAUCUUUCUGAAGUAAUCGAGUCAUAGGCUUGGAUAUUUUUGAGAAUUCCGGAAUGAAUCGACGAUAAUACCCAGCCAAACCGAGAAAACUCCGAACCUCGUGCACUGAAGUUGGAACUUUCCAAUCCAACACUUCUUGCACCUUAGCCGGAUCCACCGAUAUGCCUUCUUCGGAGAAGACAUGGCCCAAGAAAGGUACUUUCUUCAGCCACAACUCGCAUUUGCUGAACUUUGCAUAAAGCCGAUGCUCACGCAAGCGCGACAACACUACACGCAGAUGCUCUGCAUGCUCCUCUUCAUUGCAAGAAUAUACCAGGAUAUCAUCAAUGAAGACCACCACAAACUUGUCCAAUUUGGGCAUGAACACCGAGUUCAUGAGGUACAUUAAGUGAGUAGGUGCAUUCGUAAGACCGAAGGACAUGACGAGAUACUCAUACAACCCAUACCUCGUCGAGAAAGCUGUCUUAGGUACAUCUUCAGGACGGAUCUUGAUCUGAUGGUACCCAGAUCGCAAAUCAAUCUUGGAGAAUACCUUAGCUUUAGACAAUUGAUCAAAUAGGAUAUCAAUGCGAGGAAGGGGGUAUUUAUUCUUGAUGGUCACCGCAUUUAGGGGAUGAUAGUCCACACACAUGCGCAAGGACUGAUCCUUCUUCUUCACAAAGAUAGCCGGACAACCCCAAAGAGAAGAAAUAGGACGGAUAAGACCAUUCUUCAACAACUCAUUCAACUGGGUCUUAUGCUCAGCUAGCUCAUUUGGUGGCAUUCUAUAAGGUCUUCUAGAGAUAGGAGCGGUACCUGGGAUCAAUUCAAUUUUGAACUCCACAUCCCGAUCUGGUGGAAGCCCGGGUAAAUCAUCAGGAAAUACAUCCGGGAACUCACACACCACUAGAAUAUCCUUGACAGCCCUAGAUGUAACUGCAUUCACAGUGCUACGGAUAUGAAUAUCUCGAGGAAGUUGCACUAAGAACGCCUCCUUGGUAUUUAGGUCUCUCAACAUCACUACACGAGUGGUGGUGUCGAUAAGAACUCCGUUACCACACAUCCACUUCAUUCCCAGAAUUACAUCUAUACCCACACCAGGUAAGCCAACUAGAUUAGCAAGAAACUGACGGUCUCCAAUUUCCAGAGUUGCCCCCAAAACCACUUGAUUGGUAGAAAUAUCAUUCCCAACAGCACUAAUGCAAUAACUACCCUUAUCAAGUGUAAUUGCCUUGAGUUAUGCUUAGACACAAAGUCUGAGCACACAAAAGAAUGUGAUGCUCUUGAAUCAAAAAGCACAAGUGCAUCACAUUGGUUAACCAGAAACUUACCAGCCGUAACUACCUCGCCAGCAGGAAUUGCCUCCACAGUUGUGUAGUGAACACGCCCCAUGCGGACGUACCCUUGGUUACCCUUCUUUGGCGGGUAAGGACAAUUGCUCUGCCAGUGCCCGGUCUGAUUGUAGUUCCAGCACGGACAAUUGGCAGGUGGAGUCUUGGCAUAGCUGGGACCCGUGUUGCCCCUAGGAAGAGCAAUAGAGUACCCCUUGUGGAAACCCGUCUUUGCCUGAUUCUUCUUCGUGGGAAGGCGAUAUCGCUGGUUAGGAGUUGGAGCGCGAUACUGGGGUCUAACUACCACUGGAGCCUUGGACUGAGAUGACCCUACCCCGGCCUCAAAAGCCCUUUUGCGAGUCUUGGUCGCAGUGUACACAGUGUUAUAGUUCUCUUGGGUGAGAGCAUCACUGACAAACUCAUUAAAAGUUGCACACUUGGAGCGGCCCAUAGUCUUCAACAACUUUAGGCCAAGACCCUGCUUGAAGCUAGCAAUCUUCUCUGCCUCCGUGUUCACAAACUUAGGAGCCUACCUUGACAGAUGGUUGAAAGCAUGCAAAUCAUGGAACUCAGUAUGCUUCAUCUCCAUAACACCCGGAGGAAUGAAAUGCCCCUUGAAAGCCUCACGGAAGAGGUUCCAGUCAACCACAGUAUUGUCCGGGAGAGCCUCCCGAUGCUGGUUCCACCAUAUGCAUGCCGGACCCUGUAGUUCGUGAGCGGCAUACUCGGCCUUCAAACCCUCGGUCAACCGAAGCAAGCAGAACUUUUGUUCCACCGUGUUCAGCCACUCCUCAGCUUGAAGGGGUUCUUCAGCCUCUCUGAAAGAUGGGGGCUUCGUAUCCAUGAAAUCCUUGAAGCUACUGUACUAAUUAGGAGCUGGCCCUUGUUGUGCAUGACGACCACCCUAAUUUGCUAUCCGGUUGAUGGUCUCAGUGAGCAUCCUCUGAUUUUCCACCAUCAUUUGCAUCAGCUCAGCUGGAUUUUGUGGUGGAGGAGGAGGGGGUGGAUUCAUGCUUGCACGCUGUUCCGCACCUCGAGUGCCACGAGACAUCUGUAAAGACAAGUCAGUGAGCAUUGAUGAUGACAAGAUUUGCCGUAGAAGAACUUAUAUUUAUGCCUGAAAGUAUUCGAGAGAAUAGCUUUAUAGAAAAGACACAAUAAUUCAAUUCCACAAAACAACAUCACUAAUCCAACACAUGACAGAGACAUCCGUAAUACGCACAAUGCGGAAAACAUCGUCAUCACCGGUCAAACAUGAUAAAGUUAACACAUCGGGUCCAUAAAGUUAUUACACCAUCACAGUACAUGACAUGUGUCAAAGAUCAAGGUUCUGAAUUACAACAGGAUUACAAAAGCACCACUGCUAACUGCCAAACUACAAAAGAUCCUCACAUAACAACUACCCACUACUCACUACACUCCAGGCUCGUCGUCCGAGUCAGCGUCGAAGAUUGCCUCUCCAUCCUCGUCACUAACCGGCUCAAGCUCCUCGUCCUCCACGUCCUCAUGCAAGGGUGGUGCAGCCGCUGCUGGUCCAUCUACCUCCAUACCAUCAUCAUCGGCCACAAUCACCUGAGGUCCCACCUCUAGAUACACGGGUACAGGGCGAGGAAUAGGGUGUAGCAAGUUGUUGAGACGGUGAAUCUCCACAAGACCAGCCUCAAUUUGAUCCUGCAGAUAGUUCUCCCACUAUAGCGACUGAAUCCGGUGCAUCUCCCAUGCCCGGCGCCUGUUCUCCGACACACAGAGCGCAGUAUUCCUCUCACGAGUGACCUGCACCAAGUGCUCCUGGACGGUCUCCCUCUCUCUAGCUAACUGACUCAUCUGAUCCUGCUUAUGAUCUCACUCUCUAAUGGCCUUCACCCACUGCUGCCUACGAUACUCUUCUGUUGCAUCUCCUGAGCCUGGCGAACAGCCACCAUCACUUGUGCAUAAGUGUCCUCUCGCUGACUGAACAGCUUGAGCACAGCCAUCAUAGCACUCAUAGCAGGACUAGAACUCUCAGCUCGCUCUCCCUUGCCUCGGACCAACGCACAACCAUCAGCCUGCUUCCACUCCGCUGCUGCUGGGUCAACAUGGGGAAUGGAGGCCGCUGGCCCUCCUGUCAGCUCAUCACCAAACCUCUGACAGGUAUUGAGCAGCAUAGCCUGGGCUGCAACCUGAGCUGCUUUCCAAGGAGUCUGCCCGUCAGAGUUGCAGGUCCACCCUGUCCAUGCAGGCUUGCCCCCAUGUGGCGGGACAACUCCCUGCACAGCAAACCACUGCACACCUCCCAUCAUGUCCACCUCCCACCGGGAAUACUGAGGUGGCUCAGUAUACCCUACAGACUGUAGCACCCUCCAGAGCAAAGUAGGGGUGCCAAACUCGCUCAAAAAGGUGUCACUGGGGCGAGGUGAGGGCACGUCCAUCUAUGGAAAGGAAUAAACGUGGGUAUAAGAGGAUUAAUUUAAGCAACAAUUAUUUAAUUAAAAGGGACGACAUUGUAAGGGAAGGAGUGGACAGAAUGUAUGUAUGAAUGCGACAUGAUGCAUGCGCGAACCGUACGUCCUCACAAACUUAGAAAAUUAAUAUUCUAACGGAAAUACGGUGGCAUACAUUCGUCUCUCGAUACGAUAACUAUCGAUUUAUACGCGCGCUGUUAGAUGACCUGAAGAAAACUUCAUUACAGCCCAACAAUUCCCAAUAUAUCACUCAAGAAAGCAGUAAACUAAGUGCACAUUGCUUAUACAUGCCCAACAUGCACAAACAAUGACACCACAGCUACCCAAGAAAUUUAAAUGCUCCCCAAUUAAGUUUCUAUCGUGGUUCCGUGGUUUUGACAUGUAACCACUCCAGAAAACCACCGCGAACACUCCCUUAGACCGCCGUUUGGACGAUCAUGCUCUCACAGCUCACACUUACCAGGGCGUAGGUGCGACGUUGCAUAAUUUAAAUCUAGCGACAUAUGUGGCUAACUCACAUAUGAAGGCUACCUCUACAAUUAGACCACAGGGUAGCAUAGUGCGGUCAUCACACCUCCAUACCUAAGUACUGCUGGAGAUGCAUAAAUAAAACCCCCCAAGUCAGUACUUAAAUAGCCACCUAUAGUCCUUAUAUGGGCAAGGAGGAUUCGACCACUAGCAUAUUUAAGUGUUGAUUUUCACAAUUUUUUUAAAAAAACUAUUUUUGUUUUUGAAUACACAAACGCUGCAUUUAUAAUGCUGAACCUGCUCUGAUUCCAGCUGUCACAGAACCGACCAAAUUAUAAGAGUUCAAGUGUAGAAACGAUCGACAAGCAAUCAAGUUUCCAAACUUGAGCCCAUAUAAUCCCGGUAGUCAACUGAAAUCACGAAGGACUUCAAACCAACUUGCAACAAACCAAGAUCGUAAUAGUUCAACAUAACAGAGCGAUUGUUACAUAGUCAUUCAUUGCCGUCGAAGCGGCACCACAUCGGAGUUACUUAGUUAUUACAACACAUGUUUGAAGUAGCAGAAACAAAAUAAUUACACACACUUUCCAAAGUUCAUUUCACAAGUUCUUGUUCAGCCAGGGUCUCAUGCCAUCCAUCCAAAAGCAACAAAUACGAAGUAGUUAGAGAACCGUGCCUAACGGUUUAGUCCUCAUCCCCAGCGGGAUGGAGACACGUCUUGCAGAAGCCAUCAUAAAAGAUAUCAUCUGCAACAAGUGGGAAUAAACCCUGAGUACGAGGAUGUACUCAGCUAGACUUACCCAUCUAGUAAAACAUAAAAGACACCAAGGAUUAUGCCAGGCUAAGUAUCAAGUGGAGCUGGUUGACUCAACAGUUGCCAAAAGCUUAAUUGAUAGUUACAAUGUAGUGAGGGCAUCAUAUUAAUCAUCAUUAACCUAUCACUAGAUUAGCACCUAUACUAAAACACAUCACUUGAUUAUUCCAAGCAAUAAUAACUAUAUCAAGUUCAUCAUAUACUCUUUCUUGCUAUCAUCAUUAUCACGAACCAAGUUCAUUAGUGAAUGUUACGUUUGCCGCUGCUCUAUCAAGUUCUCACUAUCCGGGAGAGACGGCGGUUCGAAUCGAUUCCUAUCCAGCUGGAGGGUUAUUCCUAGCACUCACCCAAGCAUCCCCCGUCGGAGAGCUAGCGGGUCACCUUUGGAACGACUCAGGAAUCGCGGCUCCGAUCAGUGCCGCACUCCCAGGGCUACCACUCUGCCAGGGAGGUCAGAAAUUUUAACUCACCUACCUUUGGUCUUAUGCCAAUGGUCCCCCGCACACCGCACUUCCUCCGGUAGUGCGCACUUGAUACUUGCCGGUCUUCCGGCCUGAGUCAUACUACUAGGCUUCGCGGUCGGAACGAGUUAUCCGGCCAACUAAGUGUUAGGCAUGCGUUCAACAUGACAAGAUGACGUACAACGAUCGGUCCUUAGCUGCCACAGACGGAGUUACUACAACCUUGCAAAACUCCGCCCGGCUUAAGUCAAGUUAAUCAGUUUCUUUCCACGAUAGCACAUAUAGACAAUCGUGAUCCGACUCAACCCUAUCUCGUGCAGGUGAAAGGAUAUCACCCGAUUUCUACCAGUUAAAGCAUGUCUAAGCCACUACUCGAUCCUAACUCUAUAACCAGGUGGUGGUAACAUAUCUGGACAAGGAUUGAGUAAAAUGCAGCAAGAGUUUCAUCACAACUCCUAUACGUAAUGCAUCAAUAGAUAUAACAUAAUCAAGUAAGCUUUCGAAAUUAAAGUGGAAGAUUUAAGAUGCUCCGGGGCUUGCCUUUCACGAACGAGGCUGGCUCGUGAUUCGGGCACUCAACUUCCUCUUCGGGCUCCUCGAGUCCGGCUUGCUGGACCUCCGUCUCCGGGUUGCCCUCCUGGCCUUCGGGGUUCACUUGAAGCUCGGAAGAGGCUGUCACGUCCGAUGCACCUCUUGCAUGCUCGAUGAAUAAGAAGGUGUGCAUACUAGAGGAUGAAUGCUUGAUAACAUAAUUAGACUCACUAGACACUCAUUUAUGGAAUAACUACUAUAACAAGUUCACACAAGAUGAUAAGUUAACUUAGCCAAAACCUACCAAGUUAAACUAUAAACAGCAAGCAUCACAUAACAGAACAGCUCAGUAAACAGGUCAUAACUAUUGCUAAAAAGAUCCAACAAACAUAAGUGAGGACAUUCUGGAAAGCUUAUGAAAUUGUCUACAAUCCACCUUUAAACAUCACAGCAAGAUUCAUAAGUUAAACAAGUCAUUUAAACAAAGUUCCAGGUUCAGAAAAACAGAGAACACCUAUUUCUGGAACCCAACUUGGAAGAGCUAUAACUUUUAAACUAUUGGGCCAAAUGAUCCCAAAUUUAGACCACAGCUAGUUCAUAAAGUUUACAACAACUUUAGUUUAGACAAGUGUUCCAGAAAAACAAGCUACCAACAAUUAAAGGUUAGAUUACCCUCUUGCUGUCCAGAACAGCUUUUAACCCUCAAUUAAAUAUUUAACGACAUGGCCAAAAUAUACUCAGUGUCAAACACAUAACUUAUAGGCACAAACAUACUAUGGGAUUACCAGAACAACAUAUGUUAACCCUAAAACAAUUAAUAACAAGGCAUUUAUCAAUUUAAUUCUAUAAAAGGACAUAAUUACAAUAUACUAGCAAAAGUGCUCAGAAAAAUCUACAAAAUUUACAGAAGUACAAUCAUAGCAGCAGGACAUCACCAUAAAAUUUUCAGAGCAAAUGCACAUGACAAAUUCAAGAUAAGAAUUUAACAUUUGACAAGGUGCUUAUUUCGUAAAUUAAGAAACAUGGCUUAUAUAGUGUCAAACAACAGAUUUCAAUUUAUUUACAUGUUAUCAAUACCAUAAACAAGUUUGACCCCAAAGUAGAGCACCAGUAUAAACACUAAUUAUUUACUAUGAUUUAAAUAAGGAAACAUGCCAAAGAAUUAAUCAUAAAUUACAUAUCCCAGAUAUAGUACUCCAAAAAUCAUGAAAUAUUUAUCAAAGCAUUCUCAUAUCACUCAGAGAUUACCAUAAAAAUUUCAUAGCAAGAUGAGCAGUAUAUCAAGAGAUAUGGAUUUACUCAAGAAUAACAAGAUUAAAUCUUAAUAAUUAUUUUUCCCAGAAAGCAUGGUCCAUUUUAUAUUUUAAUAAAAACUAGUCAUCUCAAGGAACAUCACAAAAUUGGUUUUACAAUUUUUGGAUCUCAGGAACAGAAGAUAUGAUUUUUUUAAGAAAGCCAGAAACCUUGAUUUGAAUAAAAGAAAAGGAGGGAACUAAGUGUCACUGACAGCGGACCCCACGAGUCAGGUUCUUCUUCCUCACGGCCGAGACGACGUUCACCGGCGAUUUCUCCGCGACGGCGAGGUCUCCGGCCAAACCAAGGGCAGCAACGUAAUCCCCAGACCUUUGCGAACCGAUUGACACCCUUUUCCCCAUGGCGGAGCCACCGGAAGGGGCUUACCGUCGAUCAUGGCGGCUCGGCGGAGGUGCUCGGCGUUACGCCGGAGCUCUCAGGCUGGUAGAGCGCAACCUAGGGUUUCCUACAGCACCAGCGGACUACAGCGAAGCAUCCUAGGUAGGCGACUUGGCUUGAAAUGGUGCGGAAAGAGCUGGCCACGAGAGGGCCAAACUCCGGCGGAAACACGGUGGCGCUGCGCGUCGUGUCCGGCGACGGUGACCGCGGUAGAGCGUCUGCCAAGUGGCGCAAACGCUUGCUAUGGACCUAAGCUACCUCUAGGACCUAACAAGAGAACACGAGAGGCUCUGAGGAGCUCGGCAUUGAGUUCGCCAGAGAAGAAAGUCACGGCGACCCGAUUUGGGGGAAAAAGGAAAUGUCGGCUCACCGGAGGAUUUCACGGCGAUUUAGCGGGCGGAGGAUGGAGAGCGGGUCACGGCGGAGCUGUGGGCGAGUUUUGGUGGACAGCAACGCAGCGAGGAGCGCGUAUGAGCUCAUCGGAGUGAGCUCGCGACGGUGAGCUCGCUGCUGCCGCAUUUCUGGCGAGACAGGACGAGGCAGAAGGAAAUGGACGUGUCCACUUCGCCCGGGGUGUCGCCGUGGAGGUCAUGCGGCGUCCGGAGCUGACGAGCGGGGCCAGAAACGACGUACAGACGCCAAAUGUCACCGUUGCUCUGCCGCCGGACGGCCACGUCGACGAGCUCGGUUCUGAUUCAGACAAAACGAUGACCGACUGACAGAGCUACUUUGACAAUGAUUUCUCCCAAACCAAAACGAAUUAGGAGAUGGUGUAGUUGACAAAGUUGGAGUACUAGCUGAGUUUUACAACAUUGUCAACUGGAGCAAGAGCUAGAUCGGCCUGGUUUGAAAGAUAUGAAGUUUUCAAAAUCGAUCAAUCAAACUGCAGCGUCCCUAGACUUAGAAAAUUUUUCUAAGUGUUGGAAACAGCCCCAAAUCUGCCUUGUGGGUCACUUUCGAGCUAGAUGUGAUCAUUUUCAUGAGAUGGCCAUAGAACAACUUUUGUUCCUUAUAAUAUUUUCUACAACUUUGCUGUAGAAAGUUUUGAGAUGCAAACAUUUUAUGAAACACGUUUUAAAAGCAUAAGCAAAAGAGGUUUCUAGGGCCUUUACAUGUAAGUAUGACUUAAGUGAUUAUUUUGGAGAAGUGAUCAACAUGAACAUUGUUCCUAAGGUUGAGUUAGGCAUAGAUAAACUAUUUAGCAAGACAAAGCACCCAAGCAUGAGCAUGGUUCACACAAACACAAGCAUAGGAAGCAUGAUUAAACAAAUUAAAGCACACUUAAGCAUAAAAUGACAUGGCUCAAGGCAGAUGAUGAUCAUGAUGUGCUUGAGUAGAUGAUGAUGCUCAUUUUAUGCAUGUGAUUUAUGCAACCAUAACACUGGGGUGUUACAGAAGUUGGGCUACCCUGAUCCAUUCCAAAUGGUUGGUGAUGACUCCCUCGGCUUUAUCACAUCGGCGUAGCAGAGUGCAAUCGGCAGUUGGCCGAAAGCCAGUUGGCGAGCUAGUGCCGAUGGGUUAUAAAACUCAUAGGUUAGAUUGGAGGCUUUCCCACUACCAAAGAAGUUCACUAAUAUGGCUCUUGGGGUGAUAAUUGCCGUCAUCACAUCACGGUCCUUGUUGAGAGCAUCAUUGAAGGGGUGGAAAGUCAAGGGAAAUCUGGUAUCUGGGUCUUCAUAAGGCAUCCAUGCCUGUUGUUCUCUGGUCAGACCCUCAUACAGAGUUUGGAAGAAUCGGCUAACCUAGUCUGCGUUACCACCUGUGCCAGGUAAAACUAUGGCAGCUUCGCCAAAGUUCAGAGGGGAACAAGUUGCCGAUUCUUCUUCAUCCAGUUCAUAAUCCUCGGCUAUAUCCCUGGGGAAGCGCUGUGCAAAGAGGUCAAACUCAAGGCGCUUGUGCAUGUGGAGACUAAGCCACAUAUUGAUGAACCACCAAGGACCCCCUAAGUUGCUGAUGGGUUGACCAAGCAGUAGUUUCUGGGCUACCUGGUGAAGGAGGUGAUAAGCAGAGCCAAGUAGGUAUCGACCGAGAGGAAAUCGCCACCAUUGGAUAAUCUUUCUACUGCCGACAAGUAAACAGAAGUUGGUCCUACCGAUCGGCCACAGAAUACAAAUUUACCCAACCACAUAUUUAGAAAAGUGGUCUGUUCCUUUGCAUUGACAGGACCUGUUCUUCGGUACUUCUGAAUGUACCUGACCAACCGCCGAUAACACGAGUUUCCACCUUAGCACUGGGUUUGGUGUCGAACAGGUGGGUGGUAUCGGCAGUUGAUACAUCUAAGCCGGUGAGCAUAAGUACAUCGGCAAAUGUAGGGGAAGCAGGGCCAUGGCCAAACACGAAAGCAUUGAGUGUGUCCGACCAAAAGUAUGAGGCAGCUAUCAGUAGUGACUCAUUUCUCUCCAUAUUGGCAAGAGACAACCUAAUGCACUGAUCUAAUUUCCGUUCACCCCAUUGGACCUCACUUGAGUUACUGACUCUCAGGAACCAAUCCUUUCAUCCCUUAGUAGGACUAGGCCAGGAACGGAAGGCAUCUUUCCAUAGAUCUAGAGAAAAAUUCUCGGCUCUGAAGGGGAUUCUGUUUGUCUCUGCGUUUAUAAGAUCAGUGGGAUCUAAGUUUCCUAGUGAACCGAGGCAUUGGAGAUGGGGUUGAUCGAUAGGGAUUACGAUCUUGUUGGCCAAAUCCUAAAGAUUGUAAGGAUAAAAGAAAAAGUAAAAAGAAAAAAAGGGGGAAUAUUCAGUAAAAGGAAUUGUGGAUGGACAAAAGUACAGCAAGAGUACGAAAAAGAAGGAGGGUAAGCUAACCUCAGGGAUGACGAAGUUGACGGCCAUUGCUCCGCGGGGAAGAAGAUCGAAAUCUUGGGGGUUGUUGGAGGAACUUCUUGCUGUAGUUCUUAGAGCUAUCGAACAGCGCUGCUGCCAGGAAAGCAGUGUUGGGGCUGUAGAAUGAUGCGAUGGAGAAGGAGUACCAGAGAAGGAAGUAUUUAUAGGAUAAAACGAGCAAGGGCAAAUUUGACUUAUCUCUGUGCCGCAUCCGUGAAAUCCGAGGGUGCUCAGGUGGAUAUGGUAACUGUUCGCACGGUAAUCAAGGGAUUGUGCAGGUGAUUUGACAGGAAGCGGUCAUGACUUUUAGAUAUUUCACUGUGUGGGAUUUCUUGGUCGGUCCAUCGGCAGUUCCCUCUAACAGUAAUAUUGCCGAUGGGCGCAUGAAGUGGAGAGAUCCGGUUCGGAAGGUUGAGGAAUUCGAGGAAUCUGCAGGAGAAUCGGGCCAAGGUUGUUCAGAUUUGAACGGUCGAUUACCAAAUUGGGAGAAUUAAUUGCGGAAAGGCAUCAUUACUGCAGAGAAUUUCGGAGCAUUAAUGAUUUUAUACUCUGAAAUUAGGGGGCAUGUGUUGACACCGUUUUUGGAUACGUACCCAGUGACCUGUAGAGUAUAGAUCGGCAGGUGGAGCAACGGCAACUGGUCAGCAGGAGAGUUGCCGAUGAGGAUAGUUGCCAAUGAAGAGACGAUUGAAUAUGACUAAGUCUAGGGGUGGUGACGUGUUCUUACCGAUGAUCAAUAUCGGUGUUUGCCGAUGGCCAUAACAAGAAGGUUGUCGAUGACUCUGAAGGAAAGCGUGGAGAUUGCCGAUCGAUCUGUGGUGGUGUCCUGGUCGGUUAUAAGGGGUAGUUUUAUGUUUUCCUUAGUUAUUUAAAUUUGUUUUGUAUACGGAUUCUGUUUAAUUUGGAAUUCGAGUCCUAGUCGUGUCUGAUUGUAGCUCUUUGAGCAGGGUAUAAAUUUAGUCCCUAGGGCCUUGUAAUGAGAUAUCUAUCAAUCAAUGAGACACAAGUUUUUACUCAUAUUCUAGCAUCUACUUUUUCGACGACUUCGUCAUAUUUUCCUUUUUACUAUGAGUUUUAUGAAUUCAUCGACUUAAGCUCGGCGUAUUCUCAAGUUCCGCGUGAUUACCUCUUGGCCGUGACAUCCGGGUGCAUCGCUGUUGUCGGGACCAAAGUAUUCGAGUUAUCACCUUUGCCGAUAGUAAGGUCAAAUCAGCUGGCACGCCUUAACGUUUGAAUCGGGUAUUAGCCCUUUGUGUUUGCAGAUCCGCUUUUGCACCAACAACGUCAGACUAGCAAGAGAAUAGAUUCUUAGUAUCUGUUAUCUACUAAGUCAUAAUCUACUCUAGGCAUCUACAAUAUCAUAUAUAGCACAAAAGACUAUUCAUUCAUGUAUAAGGAACAUUGCUAAAGUAAAUCACAACAUAGCAAGACUUACUCCGCAAUACAAAUUCUACCUAUCCUACUAAUGGAGGGUGGACUAUAUAAGAAUCAACGAAGCUGUCACCAUCGUGAACUACCACACGACCCGGCCAAUAGGAUACAUUUGCAGGUAAAUAAUAUCUAAGCACCACGCCCACAUGUGAUCUACCACAUAACUCCCACGUGUCAAGAGCUAAGCGCUUUACAAACUUAUACAUAAACUCAUUAUCAAUCAUAACUAUAUCAAAUAUAGAACUAGAGCAAACUAAGAACAUAAUAAAUAGAGACAUAAUGCAAUUAGAAUAAAGUCGUAGAAAAAGAUAAGAAAUAAUACCAAACUUUAUUGACGAAGAUCCGAAAUCUAGAACACUAGGCUCUACUUCUCUAAUUCUAUCUUAUCAAUCUUAUAGAACUUGAAGGAAUUGGGAGUAGCUAAUUCUAAUUCUCUGCGGGAGAGAAGUUUCUAAACCCUGAAUUUGAUGGCUUCCUCUGAUAAUGAUUUCUCCACUUCUGCUGGGUGGAGUGGCCUUGCUUAUAUAGCCGCCUCAAAUGAACGUAGGCCGUUGGAUUAAACUGACCUUAAUCGCAUAGUUUUCCUUCAUCAUUAGAGGCGGUGGAGCACGAUCCAGGAGACGGAGCCUAAUUGGCCCCUGGGCAGGGCGGGCGCCCUAGGGGGGAGGGUGGGCACCCUGCCCCCAGGCCCGUUCGACCUCCCGUUCGUUCCCGUGGCUUCUAGACUCUUCUAGGUUAAGGAAAAUUGCCGCACACGUAAUUAUCUCGAUGUAAACCCGACGUGUGGAUCUUCCUUCCAUAUUUUAUAAUAACCGCCUGUAGAAAUAGACAAACACCAAAACUUGUAGAAUUCUGUCAGAUAAAACCCUAAUUCUAGGUGUUUGGUGUAUACUGAUCCUUUUCCAUGUUUAGUUGACGGUUGAAUUUGGCAUUUAAGGACCGUCAACAAACUCCCCCAAGCUUACCCUUUGCUCGUCCCUAAGCAAACAACUAAACUUAGAUGGAUCAGGAGUUGCUUCGAUGUUUUCUUUCCUGACAGGCACACAUGGUUUCAUAUAAAAUUCUCCCAGAUUAGAGUGAAGUGUCAUGGGGCUUAGUACCUGCACAUAAGUCUUGAGUAAUUGAAAGACAAAAUAAUUAAGUCAAGCACUAUUCCUCCUGUCUAUACUUCACCUUUGUUGUAGAGUUUUGCAUAAGUUUUCAAAAUAAAGCUCAGAGUUCCCAGACAUGAUACUCUCAACUCUCUCUAUAUGGGGUAUUUGUGGAUCCUUACAAAAGAUGUCACUUACCUAUAAAUAAGGGAAUGUUUAUGUCGAGUUUAUAGGUGUGGAAAAUAGCUCAUACAUAUGUUGUUUAAUCAAACCAUGGAUCCAAAGGAACUCAGUAUAUAAUUAAAUCAAGAUGUGCAUGUGUGGUGGAGUAAACGAUAGUAAUGGUGAGAAUGUAUAAGUGAUGAUAAAACUUACUUCUCAUUGCUCCUCAUAUUGCUAUCUCUCCUCCUCUCUUGAUCUUUGCUUUGGGAGAACUUGGGCUACCUUUUUCUUCUUUUUCUCUCUUUUUUUCAGGUGGGUAGUGAAUACCCUUAAUUCUACUAUUGGACACUUGUCCAUUUUUUCGCUCAGGUGGGCAUCUUUGUACCCCUAAUUCUACUCCGGACACUUGUCCAUUUUUACCUCUCGUCUCACACUUUUUCUUUCUUUUUUUGAGGUUCCGGGAACUUGCCCCUUUUUAUUUCCUCGUAUAUUUUUUUGCAUAACCCAUGCCUCUUUCUGCAUUGAAUCUUUUUGGAAAGAGAGAAUAACAACACUUUGGGACAGUGAGUGAUAACAAUAUUUUUAGCAGAUUUUUGAUGAAUGGUGGUGGAUAGUGUAAUACAUGUGUGCAAGUGAGUAUCUUGAUUUAACCUCAUGAAAAGCUCCUAAGGGUCUACACAGCUCGAUCAAACUCAAUGCGGAUAUAGGUAGCCAAAGAUAUUGAAAUUAUGGCAAGUAUGGCUGUGGUAGGAAUUUUGUCAUGCUAGGAACUCAUCAUAUGAUUUGCAUGUUUUCAAAGUAAAUCUCCAGAUCUCAGUGUUGUAAGAACAAAAUAAACAGCAGCUCAAACUUUAUAUCAUGUCUAUCUCUUACCUAGACUUUAGUUUUAGGCUCAUGCUCCCAUAGAUAUUAAAUUUUAGGUUUUAGUAAUUCUUGGGAGAACUCUAAUUUGAAAGCUAGGUACUUGCAAGUACGCAAACAGAGAAACUGUUCAUCAUUUCCAUCAUGCAUCUUUUUGGUUUUUUUAGUUUUUUCUAGAGAUUAAACUUAAUAGGAAAAAUAAAGCACACUAUCUACACACUCUUUUUAUGUGGUUUUCUUGUUUAAAGAAUGUAGUAAAUUAAGUAAGAAAAAAUUUAUUGAGUGUUGUAAGUUUUUUCUUUAAAUAUUAAAACAGAAAAAUAAAUAAGAAAAACAAUAAAAACAUACUCGGUAAAUAGGGAGGAACUCCCCCAAGCUGGAUAGGGCUAUGUCAAUCUUACUCAAUGUUCCAGAACCGCAUCAUGGUGGUGAUGUUGUCGUUCAUCAUCGUGGUGUCUCGCCUUAUGUCUUAUACCACAGUGGCAUGGUCCUCGUUCCACUUUUGUUGUUGUUCUAGGAGUUGUCCAUGCUGCAUUUGCCUUUCUUGUAUGGCGAGGAGGGUGUUGUCGAUGCGGUUGAAGAAGGCGUCGGCCUCUUGGUAGUAGUCCCUAGAGAAAACAUAGGAGGCGUCGGAGUAACGUCCUGCAUCAAAUUGGGGUUGGGGCCUGGACCCUGAAGCUCUAAACGGAUCAGUGGAGUUCCUUCCCGAAUAGAAAGGCAGGUUCGCCAAUUGGUGAUCUUGUCCUUCCGGCAACGUCUCCUAUGCUGGUUCUUCUGGUUGAGCAUGUUGUACCCAUGGGUCUCGAACAACUCGUGGGUUGUAGUCGCGAUAAUGCAGUUCUUGGUGGGUGGCCAUCCUUUCAGAUGCCACGCGCUGUGGAGCUCUCUAGUUCACCGGUGCCAGUGCAAUCUCAAUCAAAUAAUUUUGAACGACAUACAGGCCAAGGUUUGGGUUAGGUAACCAAAUCUUGCCUUUAUUAUCAUACAACAUGUACAUUACGUUUCCUUCCUUUUUCAGCAUUCGAGCUUGUCUAAACGUGUCAUAGCCAUGAUAAAUUUGUAACUCAUCAAUGAAUUCCAAUGACGAGUUCUCUAGCAAAUUGAGACUAGAGGCUAGACGAGUGAUGAGUGAAGUACAACCGACAGUCCCUGAAGACUAGGUAAACUAAGCCAAUGAGCAACUAAAAGAGUAACGGGUGAAAUAGGUAUUUUAUUUAUAGAAGCAUAUAAAAGUUGUAAAACUCCUACUCUUAACUUCCUAAUGUCAUCGUGAUAGAAAAGAUUGUACCCAAUCCAUUUGUGGAACAUCCGGAGUGUAGGAUGCUCCAUGUCACUGGUCCGGGGUUGGAAGAAGUAUUCGUCCCUCGAAAUCUCCCUCCAAAACUGGUUUCUCUCAAAAUUGGGCAAAUCAGUGUCAAUAUCUAGGAUGCAUCUUGAAGAGAAACCAAGAUGUUCGCUCAGUUCUCUCCUAGACAACAUGAUUUCUUGUUUGAGCAUCCAAAAAGUGAUACCCCCCUCACAAUACUAAAAAGUGUAGAGAAAUUCAAUGGUGAGAAGAUGAGACCCCAGUUCAGUUAUAUCCUAGAAAUUUGUCCAUCCCACCAUCCGAAAAAUCAAGUCAAAUUCGGUCUCCAUACCUAUCGCCUGUAGCAGGAUAGGUCAAGAGUGGGGGUGUGAAUGAAACUCUUGUACUUCAGGUGCUGGAAAACUUCCUUCUCUCUGCGGGUCUUCAGCCCAAGGUCUCCUGUCUUGAGGAGAACCUUCACUCUUGUGCCCGAUGAAGACGAUGGAGCUUGCUCGGGCGUCGGGUCGACGCUCAUCUCCGAUUGGUGCGAGGAGAGUCAGGAUGAACUCCUCGUCCCAAUGUUCUUGAUGGCCAUGGCCACGUUCUUUGCCUUCCUAAACAUCGUACAAAAAUUGACACAAACAAAAACUUGUGGAGAAUGUGAGAGAUAAAAGUUAGUGGUCAGCCGUCCAAAAAGUCAGUCGUCCAGGGGUUAGUCGUCCGAGAUAAAUUUUUAAUUGAAGAAUUCGACAACACUUCCCCUAAGCAACUUUUAGUUCCGCUUUUGGACAGCGAGAUCACUAAUUACUAGAUGAUCCUUGCUCUAUCGCUCUCCUAUUUCAAAACUAUCAUGCUUUCUUCUACUCUUUCCUUGCCUUCCACUCUCCUUCUCUCUUCACUACAAGAGCACUUCCUCUAGAAACCGAGAACUGAAGUGUGUAAGUGUUUUCUUGAAUGUGUGUGUGAUGAAGAUGGAGGCAGGAUGUGGCCUUUUAUAGUUGGAAAGGGGGAUAGGGCGGGUGCCCUAUGGUGGCCUCCUCUCUGGCUGAAGCUUCUCCACUUACUUGCUUAGUCUUUACGCCAAAAAUGCUGCAUGGAUGGUGGUUGGACGGUGGAAGUUGUGUGGUGAGUGGAAUGGUGUUGGUGGAUGAAAUAGUCUCUACAACUAAAAAGCUUACAGAGCAAUCGUCCCCUACUAUCUUCGCUUCACCCGACUAGCGACUCCGCCUUUAGGAAAUACCACUCCUGACUCCACCCUCUGUCUCCAACACCGCCCCCUCCCCCACCGUCCUCGUUCCUCACCCACCGCCGCCCCCCCUCCCCUGCCACGAUGGUGGUCCCCAAGCGCCCAGGCGCGUCCUUGCCGUGCGCUGGUGGCCCGCGUAGCACCGCCCCCCGCGCUGCUGCGGACCCACGCCCGCCGCGCUCGACCAGCCCCGCCCGCGUCGCCCCACUGGCCACGGCCCUGCGACUGCUCCCACGAGCCGAGGCGGAGGAAGGAGGAAGAAGGAGGAAGAAGGAGAAGGAGGAGGAAGGAGGAAGAAGAAGGGGAGGAAGCCGAGGAGGGAAGAAGAAGAAGGUGCGUCGGCCAAAGUCCCGUCCCGUUCCCGGCUGUCGUCUUCUCCACGUGCCCAUCCCGCGCCCACCACCAGCCCCACCUCGUCUUGCUCCGGCCAGCGGCCACCCGGCUUGUCCCUUCCCCGAUCCGGUUCGUGUCUUUGUCGCCGUGAAGCUGUGCUGCCAAAUCAGGACCACCACCAGGUGUGCCUAUCCCUUCCUUUCCCUUACUGAUGUGCGAAACCCUACCUUAAGCCAAUUUGCUAUGUCUAUUCGGAUCUGAUCUAAUGAGGUGUGUACAUUUAUUAUGCUUGCUAACUUUGAUCCUUUAAAAUUAGUAGCUGCGACCUGUAGGUAAUAAGAGGUUAUCAUUCUAAUUAUUCAAUUCAGUAUAUUUUGUAUUUGUGCCAUAACAUGGAAAAAGGAAUUGUUUUGUUUUUUUUGCAAUACCUUGUUUCUUGCUUCUAAAACCGUAGUUGAGCCUUACUGUCUUCAGUAGUUGAGUCUGACAAUUAUUAGUCAUAGUAUUGUUAUUAUGUUAAUUAACUUAAGGGAAUUCAGAUUUGCUUGUUAUGUCAACUAAGGGUGCAGAUAAAUUGCAGAUAAAUUCCCCACCGCCACAACGCCGAGCCCACCGCCCCUGCGCCAACGUCGAGCCUCGCUGCCAUCUUGCGUUUGCCAGCCUGCUCGUGGUGGUGGAAGCAGGGCAGCCGGCAGCGGAAGACGGCAGGGCGCGUGCACGGCCCUCCUCCAAUCGGGAUCGUCCACAUCCGCGUCACUGGGUCUUCAUCGGGCCCUUCAACGGCGAUGAAGCCCGCAUAUCCCUUCCACUAGGUGUGCCAAUCUCUCCUCUUCCCUUAUUGUUGUGCAAGACCCUAGACCCAAACCCUAUCUUAAAGCUAAUUGGCUAUUUCUACUCGGAUCUGAUCUAAUUUGAAUCCUUCUAAAAGGUCACUAUGCGUACAUGUGCACAACCAAUUCACCUGCAAGAACAAAAUUGCAUGCUGUGACUCUUUAGUACAAAACAAUCCCUUUUUACCAUAAAAUAUUUUUAAUAUUAGCCAGCAUUUAUUAUUACUAAUAUUAGCCGAAUAUAUGAUUAGAGUAUUGUGGUUACAUGAAUAAGUUAUCAAAUCUGUAGUUUGCUCCAAGCAUGGCAAAUUUAGAGUACUGUAUUAUUAGGGGAAAACCUAUUUCACACUCCAUGGAGUGACCAUUUAGGAUUUGCAGCUACCACUGCUCUAAUAAUUUAUAUUUUUUUACUUAAUUCAUAAACCUUUUAACUUCUAUCACAAAUCUAAAAUUUGAACAUACAAUAAUAUAUCUGCAGGCAAACCUAAAAUGAUAAAAUAUAUAUGUUUGACAUAAUCUUUACUUCCAAAAAAUAGAGUGCUAGGUUGUUAACUUCAAGCUCUACCAUUGACCACUGCAUUAUGGUCACAAGAACCUGAGUUCCGAAGAAUGUCAAGAUGUGUCUGAAUCCCACAAAAAACUGAAUGUUUAUUGAACACCGCAGUGUCAAGAAAGGCUACACAUCUAGGUAAGGAGAUACGGGUGUAAAGAGAGAUGCUUCAGCUUCAUCUAUGAUCCAUCUAUGCUUCCUUGUGGCCUUCCCUUGGAUUUUCAUGAACUCCAUUAGUGGCAAGUUAUUGAGUAGAUAAAAAUCAAAGAUUAGCAUUGAACUUUAAUGGUUGGCCCCUGCUAGGUUUAGGUCCAAGCUCUGCCACUGCCAUCGCGACCUGUGCAUCGUGUUUUGCACAACUAAAAGUAGUUGCUUAUUAUUCAUCAUUUUAGCCUCAUUCAAAUUUGACUAGAUCUGUGCUUGCUGUAGGUACUAUGAUGGCCUUCUUUUAGGACUGUCAACAACAUCGAUUGGGUGCAAGCGAGAGGCAGCUCAGUGUUCAAGCAAGGCAAUUUAUUUCAUGGCCAAGCCACUGUAAUACCAAGGUGUUUUGAUUGCACUUCUUUCUUUCACCCUUUGCUCCCUUUGAUUUUGGCCAACUUAAAGUUUUUUGUUGCCUAUGUGAUGUGUGAUGCCUCUUCAUCAUACGAGCCUGCUGAUCAGAUCAAACCCACCAUGCAUCUAAAAGUUUCAGAAAAGUAUGAAUGUCAGGGAUGGAUUUCCUCCUGAAUGACAUGCCUCGAAUUAAUUUUUGCUGAAAUGUUGUUUGCUGAAUAUGGAGGAUGGAGAGAAUUAGAUUUUGCUUUCGUAUAUUGUUUGUAUUCCCUCAUGUGACGCGUCAUGUUUUGCACAGGUAAAAGUAGUUGCUUACUAUUCAUUGCUUCAAACUUAGUCAAAUUUGACUAGAUCUGUGCUUGUUGCAGGUACUAUGAUCAUGCCUUCUUUCAGAACUGUCAAUAGCAUCGGUUGGGUGCAAGCGAGAGGCAGCUCAAUACUCAACCAAGGCAAUUUAUUUCAUAGCCGAGCCACUGUAAUACCAAGGUAUUUUACUAUUUCCUUUUGCCCCUUGCUUGCUUUGAUUUUGCCCAGCUGAAAAUGUUUUUGUUGCCUACCUGACAUAUGACACCUCUUCAGCAUAACCAAGGUUCUUGAUCAUAACUAAGAAGACACACUGUUCUUAUGUGCCCAAUAUUUGCUUAUCUCUGUUGUACUCUUUUUUUGGGUUCCAUAUUUUGGUGCAUGAUUUAUGUCAGUGGUUAUAUACUAAACAUAUGUUCAUGGUGGUGCUUCAUAAAAUUCCAUAUUUGCACAGAAUGUAGUGCAUUUCUACCUGACGUACUCGGGACUGGCGUUCAAUGGUUGCCACGCCUAGGAGAUCAGAUGUACUGCAUCUCAAAAAAAGAAUCUUUCUACGUCUGCAUUGUAUGGAAUGUACUUAUUUUAUCAUUUAGAGUUAUGAUUCAAGUACUUUUUGCCAGGUUAAGAGGGAAAUUUAUUCUCAUUGUCUGAUUUAUCUUCAGAAUUCAGUUCCUUGGCUGAUCCAUGCAAAACAAUGCUAUCUGGUGCCAGAGCGUUACCACCUUAGCAAUUGUGUUUUUAAGUUACAAUAAAAUAGCCUCAUUGUUUGUCAUGUUUGCUUCUUUCAUGUAGGGCCUUAUCUAAACUUAUUUACAGGUUUCACCUAGGCCGCUGUUCGAUUCAUCAACUAUUAUUUUUUUAGUCCUAGCUGUGUUUGCUUCAAAAAUGCCUAAGGCCCACCUAUGUUCAGAGCUCGUCAGCUUCAUUCUUCGGAAAACAAAAGGUAAGGUUACCUGACCAAAAAAUAUUAAAAACCCUGACCUUAGCGUUUUCCUCAGAAUUUUAGUUAUACUGCAGUGAUGUUAUAUUAUCUUCUAGAAACUUAACAUAUCUCAGACUUAUUUUUCUUUAAUUUACAAAUAAAGUUGUGCCACAAGUUUAAGGGCAACCAUAUUCGCUAUUACAAAAGAUAAGGACAUAAACUGAAGAUUUUUUGUUUGGAGAGUUAUUCUUAAUACUAUCUGUUGCUUUUCUUUUUCUGCGUCAUGGAAAGACAUGCACCUUUCACCUACUCUGGCUCUCAAAUAUAUUAUUAACUCGAUGAGACUAAAAUUAUCACUAAUCUUGUAAUUUCAUCAAAAUGAACAUGCAGGUAAUAAGGACAUGAAGUCUCACUGAAUCGGAUUUUGAUUGCUUUGGUGCUUGUUCCAAUAAAAUGUAUCUUUUCUGCAUAUUUAGGAAUUUAGACAAUAUAAUUUAGAGUCUCUGUAUGGGUUCUGAAUUCUGAUUGCUUUGGUGCUUGCUGAACCUAAUAAAUGUUGCUUAGAAUUUAGAGGAGACCUUUUCCCUCAUUCCCUCUCAUGUACAUUAGUUGACCCUCAACUGGUUAGUAUAACUGGAAGAUUGAAUGGUAGCGCCGCUACCUGUGAUUAUUAGUAUUUUUUAAGGACUUGCAUUCAUUCAGAACUUUAGAUCGAGCACUUUUGAUUCUUCAUCUUUGUUGACCUAAGAAUAGGAUUUGUGAAUGCUUUUUAUUUGUUGAGUUCAAGUUGUAUUUCUUUCACAUGGUUUAUGAAUUUAAAAAUAGUUCACUUUUAUGCGUUGAACCUAACUACCACUCGAUGAGUCAUUGUGUUAUGUUUUAGUUUUAUUGUUCUACACAACUUAUAUUUUGCUUUAUUUUUGCAAGCUUACUGAGAAAGUAGAAAUCAAGACAAUAAAGGUAUAUCCCUGUAGUAUAUUACACUAUUGCACAUACUUAACUAUGACUGUCAAUUUGAUCUGUACAUUUGAGACUGCUAUUAUGAUGUUGCAAGUUUUGUAGCCUAAUAAAAUAUGUGAAUUAAUUUAUUUUUGUGUCGGUGUAUAGACCUUGUAGACCGUUGGCACUGGCAUUUGAGGCGAUCAACGAGGCUAACCUACAUGCUUGCUAUCGUUUCUUGAGGUGCUUAUAUUAUUUGUGUUACUUGAGAAGAAUGAUUAGAAGAGAGAAGAAGACAUGUGGCAAGGCGCUCGACCUUAUGCACUCAAAGGAUUGAAUGUCUCUUGUAUUGUAUGAUGCAGGUGCAUGGUUUGCCCUAUGUUGGAUUAUUUGUAAAGAUGAAUUAUUGGACUUUGAAAUUUUAAAAUAUAAAUGUAAUGACUUAUUAAUAUGACAUUCAAAUUUCACAUUUUUGUUCUUUUGGCGAUUAAUGUAUUUUAAUAAAGUUAUCACCAGUUGUAUGCAUCAUAAGGCUCAUUUCAGUCAUGAUUGAUUUGAUCUGCAUCACAAUUAUCUAUGUGUGUUAUAGUUGUAUUGUAAUAUUUUACUCCCGUUGCAACGCACGGGCAUUUACCUAGUGUGAUAAGAUGUAUGUGAGGUGUGGUGUAUGACAUGUGGGACCCAUGGGGUGUGGGUCAAGCUUCUAGAAGCUUGAUAUAAUUAAAUAUAAUGCAGGAAAAACUGUGAGAAUUAAAACUUAUUGAGAAUGAUCAUGUCGGAAAGGGAGAAUUAAUAAAUAUGGGUUGUCACACACCAUAAAUAUUAUUAUUGUGGGGCUUUUAUUUAUAAUGCUAUGAAUAAAUAUGACUAAUGCUAGAAUUAAAUAUGCAUGAAAUCGAACAAUAUGGACAAAUACCGAUUUACCUCCCGACGAGGGUUUGGGGUUUUAGGGUCCCCAAAGCUAGACCUCCAAAUCUUUAAUCUUCUGAUGUACCGUUCUCCAGAGAUGGUGUAUCUAGUGGUUCUUCUUCAUGAACCUCCUUCACUGUAGAGGUUCUCUCUGGUUUGGGUUUGAAUGUGAAGUGUUCUUCUUGCCUGUUUAUGCUGAACUUGAUUUCUCCCUUUCCGACAUCAACGUGGGCAUUGGCGGUGCUGAGAAAAGGCCUUCCAAGGAUGAUGGACACUUUUGAGUCGAGACUCAUGUCCAGUACCACGAAGUCUACUGGCACAAGGAAAUCUCUUAUCCUGACUGCGAUGUUUUCAGCGAUGCCCAUCGGGUGUCGAAGUGAUUGAUCUGCUAGUUGUAGGCACAUUGAUGUUGGUUCUAACGUUGCAUGCUCGAGCUUCUUGUAGACUGAUGAUGGCAUCACACUGACACUUGCUCCAAGAUCACAAAGUGCAUUGUUGAAGUAUUGGUUUCCGAUUGAGCAAUCAAUGGUGGGGCAUCCUGGAUCCUUCUCCUUCUUCGGUGGUUUGUUGAGGAUGGCCGCACUACAUUCUUCUGUCAACUUGAUCACCUCAGUGGUGGGCAGUGGUCUCUUCUUGUUAAGAAUAUCUCUAAUGUACUUUGCAUAUGUGGCUACCUGUAUGGCAUCAAGUAGAGGUAUGUUGACUGUUGACACUUGCUAAGACCACUUGAAUACUAGAUUGUCAUCCCCACCAUGACACUAGAGUGUACUAUUGUAUUUAUAUGCACACAGAUAAAUCCGCAAGCGCACGGAUAUCAUUGUAGCUUUUACCCGGUUAAAGGUUUUAUCGUAUCCACAUGGAAACGAGAGAACUGAUAUACACUCUAACUUAACCGAGAUAGAUAGAUAGAUAGGUGUAAAUAGGAAAGAUGGUAGAAUUGAAUAAGAACAAUAUUAAAGGUAAAAUGAUAACUGGGGAAUAUAGAGUAGAGCAAUCUAAUAUAUAUGGGCGAUAAUAGGAGAAUAGAGACGAUAACUAGGGUUUCUCUACUUCAAAAGGGUAUGUCUGUCUGUGGCAAACCAUAAGUAUAAAACAACACAGAGGAUGCUUAUACCUAAGGUCGAGGACUCCUACCAGUCCUGCUAAUGGGAGAUGGACUACAGAGGAUUGUAGCUGUCACCUACGCGGCCUACCACACGAUCCGGCUAACAAGGGAUAAUCCACAAGUAAUCUAGGUCUAAGCACCACGCUUACACCUAUACUACAACUCUCACCUAUAGCGUCCUAUAGAUUAAAGUACUCAGAAGAGUUGUGAACCAGAACAUACAUGGAUAGUAAUUGCAUAAUGAAAUAAGAAGUAGUUUACCGGAGUCAUCCCAUGCGCAAGCUUGAUUAGAGCUUGAUCAUGGCGAAGUACAACCGGAGGAAGAACCGACAGGCCGGCCUCUCCUCCAAUCCAACCUCACUCUCCAUCUUGCUACAAUCUAGAUCUACUCUAGUUUAGAGAAGAGAGCAGAGCUCUCAUCUCUAAACCCUAGCUUUUGCUCUGUCUAUGAAUAAUGAAUAGGGGAUGUAGGGGUCGUCUCCUCCAGGGGUCAGGGGGCUUGCUUAUAUAGCUCUUCCAAAUGAACGUGGGCCGUCGGAUUAAACCGACCUUAAUCGCACAGUUUUCCUUAAUCCUUUAGAUCGGUGGAGCAUAAUCCGCGAGGCGGAGCCUGAUUGGCUGCCAGAGCAGGGCGGGCGCCCUAGAGGGCCCGCCCUGUCCCUGGACCCGCUCGGCCUCCCGUUCGUUCCUGUGGCUUCUGGACUCUUCUGGAAGUUAGAAAAUUAGCGCACAUGUUAAUAUCUCUAUGUAAACCCGACGUGUGGGCCUUUCCUCCAUAUUUCUUGAUAACCCCCUACAGAAAUAGACAAACACCAAAACUCAUGGAAUUCUAUCAUAUAAAACCCUAAGUCUAGGUGUUGGUUGCAUUUGGAUCCUUUUCUUUAUUUAUUCGAUCAUUAAAUUUGAUACUUAAGGACCAUCAACAAACUCCCCCAAGCUUACCUAUUGCUCGUCCCUGAGUAAGGAUGGACUCAAGAGUUUCUACAGUGGUUUCAUGACUUAAAGGUACACAUGCUUUCAAACAAGAUCUCAUCUCUAGGUUAGGGUAAACUGUUAAGAUUUAAACUUACUCAUAUUAUCUUCCAUCAUGGGGCUUGUAACCGUCACUUGUUUCUUAAGUAGUUAAAAGAUAGAAUGGUCUAGUCAAGUGUCAUGUCUCUUGUUCUUUGAUUAACUAGAGCUCCGGAGUUUUUGCAGAUUUUCAAAUCAAACUCAGAGAUUCCUUGUAUGACUUUCUCAAAUCUCUCUUUUGUGGUAUUUCUGGAUCCUUACCAAGGCAGUAAUGGUAUAUGCCUUCUCUCAAAGUAUGUGGUAUUUUUGGUAUGACGCAUAGUGAUAUUGCCUUCUCUCUGACCCUACUCUAAUAAGGUUUUGACAUCUAGAGCUCAUAGGUGGGAGAUAAAGCAUACAUACUUACAAGACAUUUAUUGCAUAGUCAAACCAUAGAUCUAGAAGAACAAGUCAAUAAGUCAAAUAAAGAUGUACAUGUGUGGCGAAUGAAUGGUGUAUGGGGAUGAUGGUGAUAAUGGUGAAAACAAUGGUGAAAGUCUAAUUCUACUUUUGCUCUUUUGAGGGGAUACAUACCUUUCUUGUACUUUGAAUCUUUUUCAGGGGAAUGAGAUGCUCUAUAUUUUCUUUUUCUUUUCUCUCAUGUGGAUAUCUUGUACCCCUAAUUCUUCUAUCGGACACUUGUCCAUUUUUACCUCUCGUCUCACUUUUUCUUUUUUUUUCAAUGUUUCGAGCACUUGCCCCUUUUUAUUUACUCGUAUUUUUCCUUUUUCUUCUCUUUUUUUAGAGCACUCACCUCCUGGAAUAAUGUACCAAGUGGUAGUAACCAAAAUAUCUUGAGCAUUUAUUUCACAGGGAAAAAUAGGAAUGGGAUAAUGUUUUUGGCUAUUCUCUCCCGGAUAGGAGUAGAAAAAUUUUGGGUGAAUCUGGUGAUGGAAAUGAGUGGAUGUAUGUGGAUGCAUACUUCGGGAGUAGAAGUAGCAUGUAUGAGUGAACGUCUAAGUGAAUCUUGAUUUUAACCGCAUGACAAGCACCUAAGGAUCUACACAGCUUGACCACACUCAAUGCUCAUAAGCAGUAAAAAGUAAAUGUAUGGUUCUUAGUCUAAUAAGCAUGUAUAUAUGGCUGUGGUAGGAUUUUAAACUCUCAUCAUACAGGAACUCAUCAUGCAAUAUUUUAAAGAUCUUUAAAGAUAAAAUUCUCUAGAAUUCUAGCAUCUCUAGGAACAGAUAAACAGCAGCUCAACCCUCACAUAUCGUAUCCAUUAACGACUUGGACUUUAGAUCAAGUACUCUUCCCACAAAUUCAGGUUUAGAGCAAUCUUUAAAUUAUAACAGUUAUGUCUAAACUAGGUACUUGGAAGAGCAACUAUUCAUCAUAUCCAUGCUAGAGUUUUAUUAUUAAGAUUCAGUUUAGCAUAGCCUCCUUAUUUAUUUAUUUAAUAAACUAAGCAAAGAUAUAUAUAUAUAUAUAUUUAUAAGCACAGAAUCUUUAUUUGGGCUUUUAUGAUUAUGCAUCUUUUUAUUAUUUGAGUAAAGUAUAAACGCAAGUAGAAACACUUAGCUGUAUAAAUAGGGGUGCUCUCCCCAAGUUCGAUUUUGACGUAAUUUUUUCUGAUGUAGCUAGCAGGUGGCGGAGGUGUAUUUCAAUGUUGGCAGCACCCCGACAGCGAUUAGGAUGUCCUCCGUCUGCUAGUCUUCUUUGAUCCUUGAAUUAUGUGGAGCUCAAAUAGACAACAAAGCUUUGUGCAACUAGUUAAGUGUUAGCAUAAAAUCUCUUAGCCGUUAUCAUGUUGAGCUUUCUCUAAUAAAUAUUACUCUCUUUGGUAGGAUCAUAAAUUUAUUUUUAUAUUUAUAUUUUUAUAGGACAGGAAUAUAUUUAUUUUUACACCACCACAGUGAAUGUACUUAUGGGUUUUAUGCCACGAACAUACCCUAGUUAUCCGUCUCCCCGGCAACGGCGAAAAAAGCUUGUUGACACUUGCUAACACCACUUGAAUACUAGGUUGUCAUCCCUAGCAUGGCACUAGAGUGUACUAUAGUAUUUAUACGUGAAUAAGAACAAUAUUAAAGGUACAAUGAUAAUGGGGGAAUAUAGAGUAGAGCAAUCUAAUAUAUAUGGGCAAUAAUAGGAGAAUAGAGAGGAUAACUAGGGUUUCUCUACUUCAAAGCGGUAUGUCUAUCUGUGGCGUACCAUAAGUAUAAAAUAACACAGAGGAUGCUUAUACCUAAGGUCGAGGACUCCUACCAGUCCUGCUAACGGGAGAUGGACUACAGAGGACCACGUAGCUGUAACCUACGUGGCCUACCACAUGAUCCGGCUAAUAGGGGAUAUCCACAAGUAAUCU